UUUUUUUUUUUGUUUGUAACAACCGUAUCUUGACUUAAAUCAUAAAUAAUUUUACUUUGAGUUUAAAAUAGACGAGUUUGUCCUACAGUUCUCUAAAAAGUCAAAAAGUUCUUAAAAACACCCCUGACGAGAAAUAAGAUGCAAUGAAACAUGGCUUUUAAUGGCAUUUUCUAGUCUGUGUUUUCUUAUCAUUUACAUGUUGAUUUCCAAAAAGGUUAAACCCAAAUUGUUUUAGACAUGGGACAUGUUUGAAGGUGCAUGAUAGAAGUUUUAGAGAUAUGAUAGAUCAUAGUCCGUCUAUAUGGAUGUCUGGUCAAGUUGAAAAGCUUUUGUGAAGAUUUACGAGGUUUAUAAACCUGGCCAGUCUCAGUCCCCACUAAUAAAGAGUAUGAAAAUGACGAAAGGGAAAACUGUACGAUCAUCCACUUUUAAAAGAAGAUAAAUAUCUUUAGUUCAUUCUUUUACAGUGGAAACAAGGACAUCAUUUGACUUGUAAAAAGCUCAUUGAUAUCGAUAGUUCAAAAAAGGGGCUAAACCGUAACUAGUUAGAGUUAUUUAAGCCCAUACUAGACUUCAAGGAAAAAAACAUAGUUCAAAAAAGACUAACAUUGUCCGAAUUGGGAAGCGCUCUACGAACAGUUUAGGAUUAAGGGCUAAACCUGCAAAUGGAGGUUAAACGCAAGCUUAAAUAUUUGACAAUUUUAAUCAUGAAAAAACUUAUGUAUAGUGCGUUGAUAUUUAUACCAAACCAAUACAAAUAAGAUAUUGUGUUUACUUAUUGUGAAGACCCGAUAGGUUAUUUUGAGAUUCAGCCUCUAUUUUCGUGUUUCGAGACCUCGAUUAGCUCCGUUUAGCGUUUUUCGAUUCGCAUGUGCAGUCUGUGUCUUAUUCCGGAAAAUCUUUAUACGAAAAAUUAAAGAAAAUGUAAAAUUUUUGCCUUAAAAUGGGUUGAGUUGACUACGGUCAAUAUUUUGUGUAAACGGAUCCAGAUUGGUAUUUUGAUGAUUCCAGUGGAUCCAUAUGGUGAUUUGGGACUUGGGCGUAUCCGGAAUUAAAUUCGGAAGCCCUUAACUUGUUUUGACUCAUUUUGCCAAAAAUUAGCAUUUUUGAAAGUUGAAAAUUACUAGGUUUGAUCGUAAGUUGACUUCUUAGCUAACGGGUUCGGGAUUUUGAUGUUGAAACUUGGAAUAGGUCCGUAUCGCUAUUUGAAACUUGUCUACAAAAUUUGGUUCAAUUCGGAAUUGAUUUUACAUGAUUCGGACGCUUAAAUGUGAUUCUAGUGUUCUUGAGUUUCAUUUUGAGGAUUGAUUCAUAGAUUUAGAUGUUAUUUUGGUGAUUUGAUUGCGCGAAGAAGUUCGUAUGAUGUUAUUACACUUGUGUGCAUAUUUGGUUUGGAACUCGAGGGGCUCAGGUGAGUUUCAGACGUGUUUCAGAUGAGCUUGGCUAAUGCUAGGAUAGUUGGUGCACUCUAUUGCUGGUGUUCUGCUGCAGAUCUCACAUUUGCGAGUUCUGGCUCGCAAAUUGCAAGCCUCACAUUUACGAAUAUGUGUUUGCAUUUGCGAGCAAAGCAUGGGAUUGGGUAACCUCGCAAUUGUGAAAUGGUUCGCAAUUGCGAACAACUUAGGAUAACAUUUGUGAUCACUUGGUCGCAUUUGCGAUGCCUAGCAAUAGUAGACUAUAUUCGCAAUUGCGAAGAUUGUGGUCGCAUUUGCGAAGGUGGGGACUUUGCAUCUGCGAACUUUUUGUUAUAUUUGCGACUUUUGUGACUCUGAGGCAGGGUUCGCAUUUGCGACCUUUGUCUCGCAUUUGCGAUGUUCGCAUUUGCGAACAAAACUUCGCAAUUGCAACAUUUGUAGCUGGGUAAAGGGGGGGGGGGAAACGGGACUUGGCUCAUUUCACAUUAUUUCUCAACCCUAAACACUCUAGAGAUAAUUUUUCAAGAAACUUUUCUUCCCAAAUUCAUUGGUAAGCGACUCUAAUCCAUUUCUUUUCAAUUACCCAUUACAUUUCAUGAGACUGCAACAUGAAAUUUAGGAUGUUCAUGGUAGAAAUUAGGAAUUUGGGUAAAAUUGAAGAUUUUUGUAAAAUUGAGAUUUAGACCUCGAAUUGGGGUCAUGUUUAGAAACAAAUCACAUCACCGGGCUCGGGGGUGAAUGGGUAAUCGGGUUUUGGUCUGAACCUCGAUUUUUACCAAGCGAGCGAAGUUGACUUUUGUUGACUUUUUCAAAAAUGAUCUAAAUCGAACCUCUUUCAUUUGUGGGUAGUUUCUAAAGCUUAUUUUGAAUCAUUUGGUCCAUAAUUUGCUAGAUUUGGUUGGUUUAGGAGCUUGUUCAAAAGGCAAGGUCGUGGUCGAUUGAUUGCUUGAGUUGCGGAUUGAGUUAAGUGUUGGGUCUAACCUUGAUUUGAGGGAAUUAAGAACUCUUGAUUUGCAUGUUAUGUUAAUUACGUGAGAGACGAUGUAUUUGAGAGGUGACAAGUGUAUAUGCGUUGUUAUGACUUCCAUGUUUUUGUUACUUCAUAAUAUAUCUUGUUUCAUGUCUUAACUGCUUAAUGCUUAUAUUUCUUCCAUGCCAUAAUUGUUCUUUGUCAUUCAGUUAUUUUUGUAUUAAAUUUUUCAUCCCUUCCAUGGUUCCAUGCUUCUUUGCUAUUUGUCUCCACUUGCUUUACUUGCAUAUUUAAAUCGUCGUAUAUCUUACUUGUCUUAAAUUUGUAAAAUUGGUUGCCUUCUAUGACGUAGUUUCACCUGUAUGAGUUGUUAAUUGGUAGAUAUUUAUGGGUUGGUAAAGUUAAGAAAUUUGAGUUGUUAGAGAUUCUUUGAUUAUUAUGUGCUUCUUCAUUGCCUUGUACAUACUCUCUUGACGUAGAAAUUCUUGUAAAUUUUGAUAAUUAAAUUGCUUAUUGUUGAUUGAUAUUGUUUGGAGAGUGGGUUGCACGCCACAAUGGAAAUUGAAAAGUAAUAAAUUAAAAUGGUGGAAUAAGGACGAAUUAUGAUAUUGACAAAUGAUGAUUGGUGGGAUCAGGUUGUGCGUCGCAACGGAUUGUAUAAGUUGUGUUUGCUUGUGACCGUUGGAUUUGCCUCGGUAUUUGAGAUGAGUUUAUAAGACUUGUUAUUCUAGGCUCUUUGGUAGUUGAAUUUUGAGUUCGUUGUUAUGAGUUAACUGCUUUAUUUUCAUUCCUUUUUUUUGUGUUAUUAUUAUUAUUAUUAUCGCGCUCAUGUUAUUGUAAGUGACCCGCCUUAGCGUCAUCACUAUUUCGUUGAAGUUAGGCUCGGCACUAUAGAGUACAUGAGGUCAGCUGUACUCAUACUACACUUUGCACUUCUUGUAUAGAUACCAAAGUUGGUCCCAGCAACGCCAAGUGAGAUUUGUUCAGAACUUGCUAUCGGUGGAGACUUGAGGUAUAGUUGCACGACGUCUGCAGCCCUGAAGUCCCCUUAUAUAUCAUCUUAGUUGUUUAUUUUGAUUCAGACAGUUAUGUUAUUUUGUUCAGACAAUUAUUUGUAAUACUCUAGACGCUCAUGUAUUCGUGACACCAGUUGUGGGAUUGCAUUUGGAUUUCGUCAUUUAUUUCAGAUUACUCAUUUUAUUGUUGUCAUAUAAUUUGGAAUUGUUAAAAAAGGUUAAUAGAUAUAAUUAACAUUGUCUUAUCUAGCAAGUGAAAUGUUAGGCACCAUCACGAUCCCAAAGAUGGAAAUUUCAGGUAAUGACAUUUAUAUAGUUUUUUAUCACUUAACCGUUAAUGAUGUCUACUCUCCCUUAAAUUUAUGACUCCCAAGUAUUUCCCAGAGAAGUGGAGGGAUAGCUUACCAGGAUUUUCAGGGUUUACACCAAAUAGAUGAAUGCAACACACUUAUCUUGCGUAUAAACUUUUAUCAUUGUUUACCCUAAAAACAGAUAACAAUUGAAUUCAUAUUGUGGUUUUAUGGGCACGUGAUUUAUUUUGCACAAACUGAGAGAAAACUUAAAUUGACAAUGAAAUUAAAUGAGAAUAUAAAUGAAGCAAACCAAAUAAAAUGCAUAACUUUAUUCCUUGAGCUAAACUGCCCUCGAAUUAAGUGAAUAUUUCGCCGGAAAGUAUGAACAUAGUAACAUGAAUAUUGAGAGCUUAAGCGAAAGUGAAUAUAUAGAUUUAUAUCAUGUGAAUAUGAUGAAUACAAAUGAUCAGCUCCCCUUUAUAUAGUAAGGGAGUCCUACUCCUAGUACAAUCUUAAAUAUGGUAAGAAAUCUCAUGAGCAACUGAUAAAUCGGCCUCUCUUUGAUACGUGCCGAGAUUUUCGCCGUGAUACUCGCUUGAUCGCGGAUAUCUUGGCUUUCCGUUAUUUGGUUCGACAUGCUUUGCUCGAUCUUGCUCAAUCUCUUUCCCGCUCAGUCUCGAUCUUGGCUGAUCUCGAUCUCGAUCGGUCCUUGAGUCAUGAGCUUAGUCAUCUAACUUCGUGUCAUGAUCCGGUAUGACAUGGGGUCGAACCUUGACCUUUCACACCCUAGUCUCGACUAGUCAUACUAAAAAGGGUAAGCCCAAUUCGACUGUAUACAGAUAGUCUCCUCGUUUUUUGGAGAGUACUGACAAGAACGAUUUGAGCCUUCGCUCUUCACUUCGAUAUAUCAUGACAUAAUCACCAAGACGCAAGUAGCAGAGGUAACCGAAAUGUCUCGUUGGUAUAGUUUCCUAGGCAUUUAAUGUGCAUCAGUCGACGGUCGGCUAUUACUGGCUUUGAACCGCCAUUGCGCAAGUAUAAAUACCCAUCUUCUUCACUUUUCAAACUUUACUUCGAAAUCUUCUUCACUUUAGUCUUCAAAAUCCUUCCCCUUCCUCAAAGCUUUGUAUUCUCAGAUCUUCGGUUUCCUUCGCCUGUUUCCUCGCAAGAUUCCAAGUGUUUCUUCUCAGUUUCCAUUCUCCUUCAUAAAAGUAAAAUGGCUAAGACUUCAAAAAUAGUUCCGCAAAAGGAAACCUCUUCUUCAUCAAGGCCCGCCGAUGACGAAACUGUGGCGGAGCCUCCCCUAGAGGACUUCGUUCCGACAAAAUGCCCCACUACUGCCGACUUUAAGGUAGAGAAAACACCCUCGACACCCGGUCUAUGCGAACCAAUGUCGUGAUACAUAUGCACAAUUACCGCUGAUCUCCUCGACCAAGUUUAAAAGGACUGCAACUAGGUUGACAAGCACGUGGUGGUGCCCUCGCCUUGGGAAUCAAUCACUACUCAUGUGGAAGGAUUUACUUAUACUUAUCCUUUCACAUUGGGUCCUUUAGACCCCAUCAUCAUUGCCUUCUGCAAGAAGGACAAUGUGACUUUUGGCCAGAUCCAUCCAUCAUUUUGGAGGAUCGUGAUCCCCCUCCGAUUUUUUGUAAACAAUAUCGAGGGGCAUCCUUUUACCCUAGAUGCCCUUAUGCGUCUCUAUAGUCCCUGGCUUUAUCGAGGAGGAUUGAUCCUUUACUGCCGAGCCACCAAACCCCUGUUCUUGAGCAUAGACAAGAGCCGAGACCGAGAUUGGAUGGGACGAUUUGUCUGAAUAAAGACUUUGGACCUAAUCCUUGCCGAAGACAUGCCGUUUCCUGAAAAAUAGAACAUGAAUCGUAAGUAUUUCUUUGCCUUGAAUAUCUAACUUUUCUGUUUUACUUCUCAUCUUCUUUCCUCAUCUAAAUUUUUUGUGUUACAGUUGUGGCCCAUGUGCCAGAAUUAAUCCCCGAUAUCAGUCAAUGGGUUGAGGGCUUAGUGUCGUAGUAGUCUUACUCCGAGCGUGCUUGGAUGGAGUUAUCAAAGGGUCAAUGGGAGGCAUGUAACCACGGUAAUCUUCUUUUCUUGGUACGGUUUCCAUUCAGGCUUUGCAUUGAGCUUACUCAUUUUAUUCCUUUUGUAGUCCUCGGGAAGGAUGUAGCAAUGAGGUCCCCAUUUGCCGAAGAAGAGGCACUUCUCUCAUCACUUUCCCCGAAGCAGGCCAAAGAGAAGAAAAGAAAAGAGGCUCCGAGCAACCCGGGCCCGGAAAAUAAAAGACCGGAUAGGAGGCACCGUAAGCCUAAGGGUGAUACCAAUGCUAUGCAUCCGGACUCGAUCCGUCAACUAAUAGAUGAGUCCGAAGAGGAGGAAGGUUCCAGUUUGAUAGCCCAUAAGCAGACUGGCGCUUCGAUAUAAAAGUCCCCCGAACCGAUGGACGUUGACAAGGGAGCUUCGACCGAAAUUUUGGAGCCAGAAAGGGUCGAGGCCGCUCCAUCCCAAACUGAGAUGAUCGAGGAGGGAAACAGAGGCAAGGACUCUUGAAUAGAUGAAGAUUUCCUAAGGGACGAACUCAGAGUGAUUGAUAUCUCUGAGUCCCCUCAAUUUUCGUACUCCACGAUCCGUCAAGCUGUUAACUUGGUAGGCCCCCUUGCGAGGGUCUUCAGGGUCCAGUUGACAUCCACACCUUCCUAGAAUGGGUGGAGUUUGAAGCUUUGGGUGAUAACACCGAUUUUGGUGACUUACUGGUGCCGAAGAAAACACUGUCAUCAGAUGUUGUUGGGUCUUCAUCGAGCUCGAAACUAGUGGACCGGUUCGCGGUCCAUAGUGCUAAGUCCAAUCAUAGACGUACUAUAGUGCUCACUGUCCCGGAGGAUGCUCGGGUCUUCUCUCCUCCAAUGGGUAUCGCUAGUUACCUGAGAUGCUUGGUGACCAAAGAGGAUCAAGUCGUGAUGGACGCGGUGGGAGACGCUUGUUUAUUUAAUGAGGCUCAGCACGUUUUGAAUCGGGUAAGUUCAAGGGCCACUCCAUUAUCUUUUUAAAACUUUGAAUUGUAGAUAGUUCUAAGAUUUUUCUCCUUACUCGUAGGCUUUGGUGCUGCAUCAUGAGGCUUUCCUCGAAUCCGAGAGCAGCACAAGGCUGAGGUUCAGGGCCAAGAACUGGACCACCACAGUAGCAUAGCUACUAAUAUUAUUUAAAAAACAAGUCUUUUGAGCAUUUUGUUUUGAAAACACCUUUCUUUUAGUAUUUUGUUUUGGAAAACAUUGUUUUGAAGUCAUCUAGACGAUACUUUGUUUAAUGUUUCAGCAUUUAUCAAAUAAUUUGAUGUUUUAUUAUUGUUAUCUUUCAUAUUUUUCUUCUACAACAUUAGUAUUUCUUACCUUGAUGAACCAACGAUUGUGACAUGUAAUGAGACAACGCAACAUAAGGAUAGUGACUCAGAAGAAGAAGAUGAGAUACCUGAGGAAGUUAUCAAAAAAGUUGAGAAUUCCGAGAAUAAGCCUAAGUCCAACCUGGACGAAACCGGGACAAUCAAUUUGGGAGAUUCUGAAACCAUCAAAGAAACUCGCAUAAGUAUUCACCUGUCACCGUCAGAGAAGGAAGAAUACACUCGUUUCCUAAAAGAAUAUGAGGAUAUUUUUGCGUGGUCAUAUGAUGACAUGACCGGUCUGAGCACAUCCAUGGUGGCUCAUAAGUUUACUACCAAUCCAAUGUGUCCACCGGUGAAGCAGAAGCUCAGAAAGUUUAAACCAUACAUGAGCCUAAAAAUCAAGGAGGAAGUCACUAAGCAGAUCAAAUCCAAAGUCCUCAGGGUAGUUGACUACCCACCCUGGUUAGCCAACAUUGUACCGGUUCCAAAGCGAGAUGGGAAGGUCAGAGUGUGUGUUGACUAUCGGGAUUUAAACAGAGCACGUCCCAAGGACGAUUUGCCACUGCCAAAUAUACACAUUCUGAUCGACAAUUGCGCCAAGCAUGAACUCCAAUACUUUGUAGAUUUCUUCACGGGUUAUCAUCAUAUUUGUAUGGACGAAGAAGACGUAGAGAAAACAACUUUCAUUACACCAUGAGAAGUGUAUUGCUACAAAAUAAUGUCAUUCGGUCUGAAGAAUGCUGGGGCCACCUAUAUGAGGGUCAUGACGACCAUAUUCCAUGAUAUGAUACAUAAGGAAAUAGAGGUAUAUGUUGACGACGUCAUCAUCAAAUCCAAGAAAUCCACAGAUCACAUAGCAGACUUAAAGAAGUUCUUUGGCAGGCUACGGAAGUACAAUUUAAAACUGAACCAUGCAAAAUGUGCAUUCGGGGUUCCUAUUGGAAAAUUAUUGGGAUUCAUCAUCAACCACCGAGGAAUCGAGUUAGAACUGUCAAAGGUUAAAGCUAUCCAAGAAUUACCACCACCGAAGAAUAAGAAGGACGUGAUAAGUUUCCUGGGAUGCCUCAAUUACAUCAGCCACUUUAUAGCACAGUCUAUAGUAAUAUGUAAACCAAUUUUCAAAAAGUUGAAGAAGGAUGUUGCAACCAGUCAGACUAAGGAUUAUCAGAAGGCUUUUGACAAAAUCAAGGAUUACCUAUCCACACCACCAGUCCUAGCCCCACCAGAGCCUGGUAGGCCACUGCUACUCUACCUCUCUGUAUUAGAUGGGUCUUUCGGUUGUGUUUUGGGACAAUAUGACAAGACAGGAAGAAAGAAGCAAGCCAUAUAUUACUUGAGUAAGAAGUUCACACCUUAUGAAGCACGGUACACUCUGCUAGAACGCACUACUUAUGUGCCUAUACCGCAUACCUCAUAUCAAGGAUGGAAACUCUGAAGUACAUCUUUCAGAAGCCUAUGCCUACCGGAAAGUUGGCCAAGUGGCAAAUAUUGCUGAGUGAGUUCGAUAUCAUCUAUGUAACUCAGAAUGCAGUCAAAGGACAAGCUUUGGCAGAUCUUCUUGCUGAAAAUCCUGUAGGAGGAGAAUACGAACCACUAAAAAUAUAUUUUCCUGAUGAUGAAGUAUCAUUCGUAGGAGAGGACAUUGUUGAAGCCUACGACGGUUGGAGAAUAUUUUUCGACGGAGCUGCAAAUUUCAAAGGAGUGGGUAUUGGAGCAGUUUUUGUGUCAAAAAUAGGUCAACAUUAUCCGGUUUCCGCAAAGCUUAGGUUUCCAUGCACCAACAAUAUGACAGAUUAUGAGGCUUGCAUCAUGGGGCUUAAUUUUUCCAUCGACAUGAAUAUACAAGAGUUGAUGGUAAUUGGUGAUUCAGAUCUUCUGGUACAUCAGGUUCAAGGAGAAUGGGCUAUAAAAAAUACAAAGAUACUACCAUACCUGUAUCAUGUGCAAGAACUGAUGAAGAGGUUCACGUAAAUAGAAUUCAAACAUGUUCCAAGAGUCCAUAACGAGUUUGCAGAUGCACUGGCUACUUUGUCUUCCAUGAUACAACAUCCGGAUAAGAAUUUCAUCGAUCCCAUUCCAGUAAGGAUCCAUAGUCAGCCAGCUUAUUGUGCUCAUGUUGAGGAAGAAACAAACAGAAAUCCAAGGUUCCACGAUAUCAAGGAAUAUUUGGCGAAAUAAGAAUACCCAAAGCAGACGAACCAUACUUAGAAACGCACACUGCGUAGGCUAUCCAAUCAUUUCUUCCAAAGCGGAGGAAUUUUGUAUAGGAGAACACCUGAUCUAGGACCAUUAAGGUGUGUUGAUGCCAAAGAAGCUUCCAAAUUGCUCGAGAAAAUACAUGGCGGAACCUGCGGUCCACAUAUAAAUGAUUUUGUUCUAGCCAAGAAGAUACUCGGAGCAGGAUACUUUUGGAUGACUAUUGAAACAUAUUGCAUCUGGUAUGUCCAGAAAUGCACCGAUGCCAGAUACAUGAUGAUAUGAUAUGAGUGCCACCAAAUGAACUCAAUACAAUAAGUGCACCUUGGCCUUUUAUUGCCUAGGGAAUGGAUGUCAUUGGUCCGAUUGAACCCACUGCUUCAAAUGGGCACAGGUUCAUUUUAGUGGCUAUCGAUUACUUCACAAAAUAGGUAGAGGCAGCAUCUUACAAAGCUGUAACCAAGAAAGGCAUCGCAGAUUUUGUCAGGGAUAGUAUUAUUUGUCGAUUUGGGGUUCCCAAAUCUAUCAUCACUGACAAUGCCGCCAAUCUCAACAGGGAUCUGAUGAAGGCCAUGUGUGGAACUUUCAAAAUACAGCACAAAAACUCCACAACAUACAUGCCUCAAAUGAACGGAGUCGUGGAAGCUGCCAACGAAAACAUCAAGAAGAUACUAAGGAAAAUGGUAGAGAAUCACAAGCAAUGGCACGAGAAGUUACCAUUUGUCUUAUUGGGAUACCAUACCACAGUCCGUACAUCAACCGGGGAAACUCCCUAUUUGCUGGUUUACGGUGUCGAAGCUUAGCCUCGAUAGAUUUCAUGUUAGCAUCGGGUUUUCAGGAGGUCAUGGGUUGUAUGCUACAAUUCAUGGACACUAUGACUCAGGCUAGUCUAUUUCCAGCAGACCCAGCCAUAUCUUAGGCAGGAGGGGGAGAACAGACCCCUACUGCUCAGGCUUCAGGGCUUGUGGCUGCCGUAUAUCUUACACUACCUGUGGGUGGAGCCCAGCCACUUGCCGCAGCUGCACCUGAGCCUAGACCAGCUGCGUACGGUGAUCUACAGAAGCUAUUGGACAGAUGGACUAGGCUACACCCUCCUAUCUUCAGGGGUGAGCGACAUGAGGAUCCCCAGGACUUUAUUGAUCGGUGCAAGGAUAGACUGCACAAUUGUGAGAUGUGUAUAGGGAUGUUUGAUGCAGUGCAGGACUAAUCUAAAAAAAUUUGACACUCUCUGAAGUUUAGACCGUGGCCGCACUCCAUUUUUUGUGGUCCGCAGUGGCCUUAUCGCGGGGACAGAAAUUGUUCCCGGUCAACGGUGCUAAAAGGCCAAAAGUGAAGGCUCUUUGAAGUUUCAACCGCUACCACAGUGAAUUUUUACGGUAAGUGGUGGCUUGCCGUUGUCGUAAAUGGAUUUUUCGCGGUCCGCGGUGGUCCCAAAGCAAUAGCCCUUCUGAGUUUUACAACCGUGGUCCGUGGUGCAUUUACUGCGGCUACAGUAGGUAAGAAUAAGUGGGUCCCAGGGCUUGUCUACAAAUAGGACCUCAAGGCCCCCUUUUACACUUUUCGCCCUUUGCACUCUCAAUCACUAGAAACUACUGUUCACUCACGCCUUAAUUUGCAUAAUACAGGAACUGAACUUCAUCUGUAUUCCAUCUCACUUCUGGUAAUUCAAAUCUAUCCUUAGUCUUUAAUUUUAUUUUUAUUUUCUUUUAAUUUGAUAGUUAUUAAUUAUUCUUCUUCCUUUUUCUUUCAAUUUAAACAUAGGGUUCCAUAGUGUUAAUUAGAUUAGGUUUUAAUUCAAUGAAAAAUGUGAUACCUAUAAGCUUCUCAGUGAGAAGCUUCGGGCAGAUUUGGUGACGGCUCAAGAUGAGCAUGCUGAGAUAGUCGAGUCGGUAUUCCGAGUGCUUCAUGAUAGUGAAGUUGAGUUGGAGAUAACAACUAAUGAUCCAAUUCUGCAGGUCCGCCAGAGGUUUGAACAAAUCAAGGACCUUCAAAGGCGAAUAUAUAAAGUACAAUCUGAGGCUAAAAAGUUCAAGAGGUUCAUGGGCAUCGUAGCUUCAAAAAAGGAGGUCGUCCAAGCAUAGGUGGAGUCCGCCGUGUCUCAGCUUUGGGCUGGAAGGGAGAAUGCCUCGGUUCAGGCAAAGAAAAUCGAGAAGCUUCAGUCCAAUUUAGCCAACUUGGCCAAAGAGCUCGAGGUGGCCAGAUCUGAGGCGGCCACGGCCAAUGAUAAGGCCCAGGCUAAUGCGACCCAAUACACGGUCGAUGUUGAAGCCACCUUUACACGGCCAAGAGCAUGGUGGAUCAUGCACGAUGGAAAGCUCGAAGGGAGGCCUUCGAGGGUGCUCGUGAUCAAAACUUUGAUAUAUCUACUGAAAUUGAGAUUUCCAGGGCAGAAGAAACAAUGGCUCGUAAGCUGGCUUUUCUCGAGGAAGACUCCAAGAAUCUGAGCUAAUCCGGCGGUGGAGAAGACUCUGAGGCGAAGAUGCCUCUUUUGAUAAGGACUAUGCUACUUAGGCUUUGUAAUUUUGUUUUUAUUUUGAAGCCGAUCGGCCCUUGUAAAGAACUCUUAAUCGGGCCAUAUGAUCCUUGUAAAAAGGCUUUUGAGAUAUAUGUUAAACACUUUCUUCCCUUCCAUGGCUCCUGAAUUUGCUGUCUUUUGUUUAGUUUAUACAAAGGUCGAAGUGCCUUAGCAUGAAAUAAUCGGAUCGCAUUCGAAGCUUUGAGAUGGUAAGGACCGAUGUUAAGUACUAUCCUUGACCAUUCCUGAUCGGUAAACCUAGAUCGAAAGCUUGAAUUCGAACUGAGGCGGUUUUGUGUCAAGUGAGAUUAUUUAUUUAAAUUUGAAUCAAGUUAACCCUUAAGUUUGAUAACCGAGUGAGAUUGGUUUCUCAAACUCAAAAAUAAACAUAACCCUUAGGCUUUAAUAGUCGAGUGAGGUCUUUCCUGAACUCGAAAUAAGAUAGCCCUUAGUAUUUCUAGUCGAGUGAGAAUGAUCUCUCGAACUCGAAGUAAAAAUAGCCCUUAGGCCUUUGUAUUUUACUUUCUUUUAUUUUUGGCCGAUCUGGCUUUUUGUGAAACGAUCGUUUUUGUAUAUAUAUAUGGCUUUCCACCUUUUUUGGAUCUAAAAUUUUUCCUUUGCUUUAUUGCUUCUAAUCACAAAGGUUAGAAUGCCUUAGCACAAAAUAGUAAGGUUGUGUUCGAGGGUUCGAACAAACUUUGCCCUUAUUGCCCUUUUGGGUUAAGGCGUUAUCAGGUUUCGGUGUUUACCGAAGUUUUUUCCCAAAUAUAUCUUAAGAUUAAGGUUAUGCUGAGGGUAGCCUUUAGAACCGGUUGUGAAAGAUUUUUUUCUUUUUCGAAGGCCUGUAUUUGUUCGGAUUUCGGACGUCUCCAAACCGUGUUAAAUGGGUCGUAGCAUUUUAGUUCGGGCUUAUCCCAUCGAGCUCGCUUUCCCGAGUUAUCUAGGCUUGCUUAAGAUAAUAGUCCCCGAGUAGGUAUGGUCAUGUACUUUAAAAUUCGAGGGUUGUCUAAAAGGUCUUCUGCCCCUGAUGUUCAAUAGUUCGAUCUGUUUGAGUUUAUUUUAUGGACGGCAGUCCCCGAGUGUUGGGGUGAUUAUCCGAACACUGGUUGCAAUCGGCCCUUGGGCUUGUUUCCAAAACAGAUCAAAAGUAUGGGGUCGUAAAGUGAAAUUUUUUCCAAGACAUUAAGUGGGAAUUUGGACAUAAGAAUUGUAAAAUUCCAAAAAAGGGUGAAAAAAAUUUUCAAGUGAAAAUGGUAUUUGAAAUUUUGAGUUGUGUUUGGAUGAAUAUAAUUUUGGGUUAUUUUUGAAGUUUUGUGAAUGAUUUGAGCAAAAAUUUUGAAAACGGGUUUUUGGAGUUUUUUAAAUUUUCAAAGAUUUCCAAAAUACAUCUUUAAGUGAAAAAUGAAAAUUUUAUGAACAAACGCUGAUUUGGAAAAAAAGUGAUUUUUUUUUUUUGAAAAAAGGCAAAAAUUUCUUAUGUCCAAAUGGGCUCUUAAUAGUUGCAAGAAAAGUACUUCUCUUUAUUCUUGUCAAAAACAAUCACAUGUGCAUACAUGUUUUCUGUCAGGGCUCGAUUAAUCUAUGUGGGCACGAUUCGUUUUGACCGUUUGGCCCUAACAAUAAAUCCUAGUUAUUGAGACCCUUUCAUUUUGAAAUAAUUUCCUUGCUAGAAUAAUUCAAUAUACGAAGGUAACCCCCCCCCCACCCCCAGUAUUUGAUGUUGAUUGUAGAGAAUCUCAGAUACUAUAAACACAGUCUUUGAUACCGAUUCAGGAUCAGCCUUCAAUUCUAAGGUAGCACGAUCCAUUGUUGCCUCGUUAAAAACCUUGCCGAAAAACCUAUUUGGGAUAAAACGGUUCAAGGGAAAAAGAGUGCAACGUGUGCUUUCAGACUUAAUGGCUUCGUACUGCUCCUCGUUGAUAACCUGCAAGUGUUAGUCAAAAAAUAGAAAGAAUUGAAAUGGGGUCAUACCUCAGCAGUAAUAUCGUUUGAGAUGAGUUACGUUCCAAUUAUUCGGUAGUUGUUCUCCAUCCAUCGUUCCGAGCUUAUAGGAUCCUUUUCUUGUAUUUCGAGGAUCUGGUAUGGCCCUUCCCAAUUCGGACCCAAUUUUCCUUCAUUUGGAUUUCGAGUGUUUAACGUGACCUUCCUCAGUACCAAGUCCCCGAUAUUAAAGUAUCAAUGGUUAGCCCUUCGAUUGUAAUACCUCUCGUUCAUUAUUCUGGGCAGCCAAUCAAAUAAAGGCAACUUCAUGUCGUUCAUCUAAUAGCUCCAGGCUCGUAUUCAUGGCAUUGUCAUUUUAUUCCUUCAUCGCAUAUCGUAAUUUGAUGCUCGGCUCCCAAACUUCGACCGAUAUUAAAGCUUCAACUCCAUAAAACAAAGAGAACGGGGUAGCCUCGGUACUGGACUUCGAAGUUGUGUGGUACGCCCAAAGGACUUCGGGCAAGACUUCUCUUCAUUUUCCUUUGGCAUUGGUCAACCUUUUCUUGAGGUUUUGAAUUAUGGUUUUGUUGGUCGAUUCGGCUUUCCUAUUCCCACUAGGGUGAUAAUGUGUUGAUAAAAUCCUUUUGAUCUUAAGGCCUUCGAGAAAUUUGGUCACCUUCCUGCCGAUAAACUGUUUUCCGUUGUCACAUGUAAUUUCGGAUGGUAUUCUGAAUCGACAUAUGAUAUGGUCCCAAAUAAAGUCGAUGACUUCUUUCUCCCCGACAUUCUGAUAGGCCUAUGCUUCAACACACUUAGAGAAAUAGUCAGUCAUAAAUAAAAUAAAUUGAGCCUUACAUGGUGACGAUGGAAGAGGGCCAAUGAUGUCCAUACCCCACUUCAUGAACGGCCAUGGGGAUAAAAUGGAAUGCAACAUCUCCCCAGGUUGAUGAAUCAUUGGAGCAUGUCUUUGACAUUUAUCAAAUUUUUAUACAAAAUCUUUCGCAUCUUUUUCCAUAUCAAUCCAGUAAUAGUCGUCUCUCAGUGAUUUGGCGCCCGAGUGGUUCCCACAUGUGCCUUUGUGGACUUCCCUCAAAAGAUACUCGGUAUCUCGUCGUCCCAGACAUAUUACUAGCGGACCGUCGAACAUCCUUCUAAGUAAGGUUCCAUCUUUGGACAAGCUAAAUCGGGCUGCCUUCGUGCGUAGGGCCCUCGAUUCCUUUGGAUCUGAAGGAAGUUUCGUUAUUCAAAUACUCUAUGUAUUUGUUUUUCCAAUCCUAGGUCAAGCUUGUGGAGUUUAUCUCGACGUGGCCUUCUUUGACCACUGACCUCAUGAGUUGUACGACAGCCCCCGAAUUGAGUUCAUUGUCUUCAACCGACGAGCCUAGGUUUGCGAGGGCAUCGGUUUUGCUAUUUUGAUCCCGAGGCACAUGCUGAAAAGUUCAUUCCUUGAACCGAUGUAGAGUUACUUGUAGCUUAUCCAAGUAUCUUUGCAUUCAUUCCUCUCAAACUUCAAAGGUUCCGUUAACCUAAUUCACAACGAGGAGGGAGUCGCAUUUGGCUUCGAUCACCUCUUCUCCCAAGCCUUUAGCUAGUUCGAGACCUGCAAUCAUGGCAUCAUAUUCGUCCUCAUUGUUAGUCAAUUUUAUAGUUCUAAUAGAUUGUCUAACCACGUUACCUAUGGGUGGUUUUAGCACGAUGCCGAGUCUGGACCUUUUUACAUUCGAAGCACCGUCCGUAAAGAGGGUCUAGAUCACCGAAGAUAUACCCGAGUUGACUAACAAUUCUCUUUCAACCAUGGGUACUAGGGUUGGCGUGAAGUCAUCCACGAAGUCUGCGAUGAUUUGAGACUUGAUGGUUGUUCGAGGUCGAUACUCAAUAUCGUACCCGCUGAGUUUUACGACCCAUCUAGCCAAUCAUCUCGUAGUUCAGGUUUAUGCAAAAUAUUUUGAAGUGUAUAAGUUGUUACAACACAUAGAGGAUGACAUUGAAAGUACGAUUUAAGUUUCCUAGAUGCGCUUAUGAAAGCAAGUGCUAACUUUUCUAGAUGAGGAUAUCUAGUUUCGGCUUCACCUAGGGUCCGACUAACAUAAUAGAUAGGAAAUUGGAUACCUUGUUCUUCACAAAAUAGGACUCCACUUACUGUUAUCUCCGAUAUUGCUAGAUAUAAGUAUAGUUGUUCGUUUGCCUUCGGCGUGUGAAGCAGCGACGGGCUCGACAAGUAUCGCUUAAGUUCCUCCAAAGCCUGUUGACAUUCUGGGGUCCAUGUGAAGUUGUUCUUCUUUUUCAGCAACGAGAAGAAUCGAUGACUUUUGUCGGACAAUCUAGAGAUGAAUCGACCCAGGACUGCAAUACCCCCUGUUAGCCUUUGUACGACCUUCACAUUAUCCACUACCGCGAUAUCCUCGAUUGCUUUGAUCUUAUUGGGGUUGAUCUCGAUUCCCCAAUUCGACACCAUGAAUCUGAGAAACUUGUUGGACCCACCCCGAAUGCACAUUUCUCCGAGUUGAGCUUCAUUUUGUAUUUCUUCAAUAUACUGAAAGUUUCCAGCAAAUGCUUCAAAUGGUCCUCUGCUCGCAGGGGCUUAACUAGCAUGUCAUCAAUAUAAACUUCCAUAUUUUCCCUAUUUGUUCUUCGAACAUUCGAUUUACUAGGCGUUGAUAGGUUGCACCAACAUCUUUUUUAGUCUGAAUGGCAUUACAUUAUAACAGUAGGUACCAUACUUAGUGAUGAACAAAGUUUUUUUCCUGGUCUUUCGGGUUCAUUUGUAUUUGGUUGUACCCGAAAUAGGCAUCGAGAAAACUGUGAAUCUCGUGGCACACCGUGGUAUCGAUUAUGCGAUCGAUGUUAGGCAAAGGAAAAGAAUUCUUGGGCAUGCUUUGUUUAGGUCUUUGUAGUCUACAUACAUCCUAAGCUUGUUUCUUUUUUUUGGACUACUACUAAAUUCACUAACCAUUCGGGAUAUUUUGCUUCCCGGAUGGAUCCUAUUUUGAGUAGUUUGGUUACCUCGUCUUUGAUGAAAAUGUGUUUCACCUCGGACUGAGGCCUCCUUUUUUGUUUUACUGGGCGGAACUUCGGGUCCAAUCUUAGUUUAUGAGUAGUGAUCUCCGGUGGAAUCCCUGUCAUAUCGAGAUGGGACCAGGUAAAACAAUGCAUAUUAGCGAUAAGAAAUUGAAUAAGUUUUUUCCUGAGCUCGAGAGUUAACCCCGUGCCCAGGUAUACCUCUCGAUCGGGCAGAUGCUCGACCAGUAUGAUUUGUUCCAGCUCUUUGACCAUUGAUUUUGUAGCGUCAGAAUCCUUGGGGAUUUUGAAGGAUCAAGGUAUCAUAUAGUCAUCAUCCUCGUACGUCCCCUGCUCCUCCGGUUGGGUCGAGGCCGAUGUCUGUGGUUGCUAUUUAACCUUUUGCUUUCCCUUCUAACUUGACCCUUUUAUUGAUGAGAGCGCCGAUAUUGGUAUCACUUCGACGAUGGCACAUUUCGUUGGUGGCGGGUUGCUCCCCGUAGACUUUUUUGACUCCCUCUAGCGUUGGAAAUUUUAGAACCUGGUUAAGGGUCGAAAGUAGUGCCCUCGUGUUAUGGAUCCACGGUCUCCCGAAUAUAGCAUUAUACUUCAUAUCGCCCUCGAUCACAUGGAACUUCGUUUCUUGGAUGGUCCCAUCCACGUUUACUACAAAGUUAUUUCGCCUUUCAUGGUUUCACAUGCCAUAUUGAAGCCGUUUAGAACUCGGGACGCGGGUACAACCUAAUCCUAAAAGCCGAGUUGUUCUAUGAUCCUUUAUCGAAUUAUGUUGGUCGAGCUACCUAGAUCAAUCAAAGCACGUUUAACUUGAGUCUUAUUCAUAAGUACAAAUAGUACCAAUGCGCAAUUGUGAGGUUGUUCAAUCCCUUCUACAUCCUUGUCAUUGAAAGACAAGGUUACUUCCGGUAUGUAAUCUCGAGUUCGCUUCUCUCUUGUGAUCGACACCUUAGGUGCGCUUUCAUACUGGUCCUUGAGAAGUAUCGACCCCGCCAACGAUCAUAUGAAUCACGUGUAGUGGUUCUUCUUCCUUGUUUUGUCUACUGGAAUCACUGUUUUUGAAGUGAUUCUUGGCCCGAUCGCUUAAGAAUUCCCGAAGAUUCCCCUCAUUGAACAAUCGGGCUACUUCUUCCCUUAGCUAUCUGCAAUCUUUUGUUUUAUGACCAUGGGUGCUAUGAUACAUGCAUAUUUGUUGGGAUUUCUUUGGGUUGGAGCGGUUUGUAGAGGUCGAGGCCAUCUAGUAUCCUUAAUACGUUCGAUGGCUGAUACGAUGGUGGAUGUAUCUACGUUGAAGUUAUAUUCCAAUAGUCGUGGAGCUUCUUUAGGCCCGGCAUCCUUGUCGAAAACCACCCUUGCUCAUGAGUCCUUGUGAACUUUGACCUCGAUCAUUUCUCAUCUCAUUCUGUGCAAAGUUUCGCCCAGACCUGCUACAUCUAUGGUCUAUGUUGUAUGGUUGAUAUCUCUAUUCAACCUUGGCUCUCGGUCGAUAUCUCUCUUGAUUCUCUCUACGGGCCUGUUAGGAUAAACGGACCCGGAAGGAGUCCCCGGUUGAUCAUCCUCGACCCUGAUCUUUGACUAAUAUCGAUUAUGUCUUCGGCCCAAGUGACAGCUGGAUACUCGAUUGCUUCAACUGCUAUGAAGCUAUGGAACUCCGAAUGUUGAGACCUUGAGUGAAAGCUUGAACAGCCCAAUCAUCGGUGACCAGUGGCAAAUCCAUUCUCUCCAUUUGAAACCAAGAUACGAAUUCCCUGAGCAUCUUGUUGUCCUUUUGCCUUACCUUGAAAAGGUCUGACUUUCUUGUUGCGACCUUAAUGGCUCCAGCAUGUGCCUCUACAAAAGAAUCUACAAGUAUAGCAAACGAGCCAAUAGAAUUAGGCGGUAAAUAAUGAUACCAUAUCAUGGCACCCUUCGAUAGAGUCUCCCCGAAUUUCUUCAGCAAUAGGGAUUCAAUUUUGUCAUCUUCCAAGUCGUUUCCUUUGAUGGCGCAUGUGUACGAGGUGACGUGUUCAUUUGGAUCAGUCAUCCCGUUAUACUUAGGAAUCUUGGGCAUACGGAACUUCUUGGGCAUUGGCUUCGGAGCCGCACUUGGGAGGAAAGGUUUUUGUACAAACUUUAUAGAAUCUAGUCCCUUCAAUAUCGGUGGUGCCCCCGGGAUUUGGUCGACCCUGGAGUUAUAGGUUACCACAUUCUUAUCAUUUUCCUCGAUCUUCUUUUCCCCUAUCUUGAUUCGCUUUGUCAAUUCUUCGAGCAUCUUUAUAAUAACGGGAUUGUCUCCUAUUCCUUUUUGUUUUAUUUUCUUGAAGCCGAUUCGACCCUAUGUAUAAAUUCUUGGGAUAGCUCGAGUUCGACCCUGCUUGGUAUUUGGUUCUGAUUUUGGAGCUGAGCUAUUGCUGCCUGUUGGGCCAACAUUUCGAAGAUUACCUGCAGGUUGAUCCCCCCAUCUUCACUGCCAUGUGCAUUCUGAGUAGCUGAUCGGGUAUCUCCACAAAUGAUGCUUUCUAGAUUGACGGCCGAAUUUCCAUUGAUGGAUACAUGCAAACUGACGUCGAUCAAAUCUACAGCCGGAGCUCCAUCGAGGCCAGCAUGGGGUACAACAUUUCCUAGUGCAAUGUUCUCAUUCUCGCCGUAGUGGCUGAGAUCAUUGUCACUGUGUUGAGGUGCUAGCUGAGAGCUCGACAUUUUCUAAUCUUGUAAUCAAAGACACUUCAAAGAACAAACGUAAAAUAGUGUGUGUUACGAAAAUUUGUUCCAGGCAAUCACUAUUAUCUUUAGCCCCAUGAUAGGCGCCAAAGUGUUUGCCCUAAAAACGGAAACAAUUGAAUUUAUACUGUGGUUUUAAGGGCACGUAAUUUACUUAGCACAAAUUGAGAGAAAACGUAAAUUGACGAUGAAAUUAACUGAGAAUAUAAAUGAAGCAAACCAAAUAAAAUAUAUAGCUUUAAUCCUUGAGCUAGACUGCCCUCGAAUUAAGUGAAUAUUUCGCCGGAAAGUAUGAACACGGUAACAGGAAUAUUGAGAGCUUAAGAGAAAGUGAAUAUAUAGCUUUAUGUCACGUGAAUAUGAUGAUGAAUACAAAUGAUCAGCUCCCCUUUAUGUAGUAGGGGAGUCUUACUCCUAGUACUAUCCUAAAUACGGUAAGAAAUCCCAUGAUCAACUGAUAAAUCGGCCUCUCCUUAAUACGUGUCGAUAUUUCUGUCGUGAUCCUCGCCUGAUCACGGAUAUCUUGGCUUUCCGUUAUUUGGUUCGACAUGUUUCCUUCGAUCUUGCUCGAUCUCUUUCCCGCUCGGUCUCGGUCUUGGUUGAUUUUGAUCUCGAUCACUCCCUGAGUCACGAGCUUGGCCAUCUAACUUCGUUUCAUGAUCCGGUACGACAUGGGGUCGAACCUUGGCCUGUCACGCCCCGGUCUCGACUAGUCAUACUAAAAAAGCCAAGCUCGAUUCGGCCGUAUACAAUCAUCUAGUCAUAAUUAAGUGAUUAUGCAUUAAUCUCACUUUAAUUGUAUAACUCUAAUUAUGAUUAAAUUAAUUUGUUUGAUUUAGUAUAAUGUCUAACAUGCAAAUUGAAUAGGGAGAAUACAUAAGCUGCCCCGCUGUGUCGUGUUCGCUUGGGAUGGUUUAUAGCCGUCGUUGAAAAGGAAAAAUACUUAUUGCUUUGCGCAAAAGAGGAACCAUCCAUGCAAUUCUCGUUAAUUGACAUUUGCUACAGAAUGUGAACACAUAUGGCUAUUGAUAUCGUUGAAUAGUUUUAAGUUCUGUGCAUUAUAUAUGAGGCAGACAGUUCUCGAACUGCAAUUUUUGUUCUUUUCUAUUUUGUAUCAAUCAAAUCUAAUAAAAAUCGGGCAUGAAGGUGAUACUUUCACCAUUGUCUCUAUUAUGCUAAUAAUAUAACUUUGUAUACUAAUGUUAACAUCAAAACUUGGCAAAAAUCAAUAGAAUAAUUAGAAUGGAAAAUGGACAAAGUCCAAAAUCUGCACCAUAGAGAUGGGUAAUUAAAACCAAAUUACUGCAAUGAGAGAAGAGUUACUGUAUUUGAUCAUUUGAAAAAAAAAAUGAAUAUAAAAAUUUGAGGAAAUGAUUUCGAAAAGCAGGCUCAACUUGUAUUGUAUUGAUUUUUUAUUCUUUUUCGUAUUUUCAUAAUACUUAAAAUCUGAAAAAUAUAUAAUCUUUACAUGGUAAAUUUUAUGACUUUUUGUAGUGCUUGUGUUUUCCCGCUCAAAUAACAUUGAUUGUCUUUAAUGAUAAAGUAAACUAAGCUGCUGCAAAUAUUGACUUUAACUAAACCAACAAUCUACUUUCCGAUCAAGCUAAACAAAUAUAGUUCAUAUUUUAACUAAAAAAUUAAUAAUAUCGUAUAAUAUAUCUCAUGAAAAUACAAGAAAGACACACAAAGGGAGAAGAAAAAGUAACAUAUGGUUUUUGAGGAUUAUAAAACAAAUAAGUCAACGUUUGUCUUGAAUAUAGUCAAUUCUCAAAAAGGUAAAACAAACCCCAAUAAGAAGGUUCGAGGAACUAGUUUUAUAAGCAUGAAUUAUCCGUAUUAGUUCGGCCAAUGGGUUUUGAAUUGCUAUUCUUUUGUUUUUCCUCUCCCAUCAUGCCUCCGCAUGUGUCAAAUUCAUGUAAUCAUGUUAAUACAUCGGCUAAAGACUUUUAGAAGCUAAUCCCUAUCCACUUUGGUCUUUGAGAGUGAAAGCGGAAGUUUCAAGGAAACAAGACAUUACUUGUAAAAGUUCACUGGUAUUUGUCUAAUUGUUUGUAUCCUGCUAUGUUAAAUAGGUUUGAACAUAUAAAGUUAAACCUUUCUGUAUACCGUGAAAAUGGUAACAACAAUUAAAUUUGUAAAUAGGAUUCUAAAAAUACGUGAUCUAUUUUUAUGCUAAUUGUUAGAGCAGAUGAUGCUAGGAAUAUGAAAUUUAACGAUGAAAUGCAAGCUAAAACGAGGUAAUAAUCAAACCGAGGGGCUUACUACCCUGGCUUCGGACUGGUCAAUGGAGGACCUCGGGGUCGAUAUCUGGCUCGAGUUCGAGGUGUCGGGGGUAGUCGGGAAUGGGAUAAUAGUUAAAAUAUGACAAAAAGGUUCCUUAAGGCCAAGACCAAACGAUAAAUGAAGAACAAGUAAGAAAGCAAUAAGUGGUAAAGCGGCCUCGAGCCAGCGAGAACGGGCAAGUUUGAAAGAAGAAAGAGAGAGAAAGAUAUUAUUGCACUUGGUAGAAAAGUUGGAGCAACAUCAACCCUUUACAAGGUAGUGUCGGUUCUCUUUAUAUAGGAGGGGAACCCGGCAAUAGUACAUGGGCAUUAAUUGUAAUAUGGAGAUGUGACGGCUAGACGCGACGCUUUGGCGUGGGCUCUGGAUAGGCCGGCCCUGUCAGACUUAGUCCUGUUCCUAGGGAACUUCCCCUUCUGUUCUAGCCUCAUCCCUCGUAUUCUUUGAGUCGGGCCCCGACGAGCCCCGAGGGAGGAAACUUGGUCGUGGCUCCAUGUCCUAGGGGUCACGAGGCAUUCUUCCGAAGUGGCUUGAUAGCGAGAAAUCAAGUCCUCUGAUUUUUCCGCAUACAGAUAGUCUCCGCGUUUCCCAGAACAAAACGAUGGAAAAUGAUUCUGGCACCUGACUCCUCGAGCUUCUUACGGUGACGUCACACCAAUGAUGCAACUUGUGGCGCGAGCUUUUGUGGCAAUCAGGGUGCCCCACGGACUUGUGCAUUUGACAUCAUUUAAUGCGCUAACGAUUCCCGUUCUCCAAGGUGAGUGCACCGUCGUCGAUUUGGUUCUUCAAGAGUGUAGUAACUGCAUCCACCGUUCGAUCUUCCAAAGCCACGAUGACUAUGUCGUUACCCCUAUAAAUGGGGGUGCCUUGGCAUUGAUUUUUCUAUACCAGUAUCUUCGUUGGAUUAUUUUCCCAUUUCUUCUUAUCAUCUUCCACCAUCCUUUAAUAUCAUGUUUGGGUCUCAUGGCCCCAAAGCUAUUCGGCAGAGCUCCCGUAGGUUGUGUUCCGGCCUCUUGCCGGAGCUUCUCUUUGUUGAGCACGACCAUGCUGUCCUGCUGUUGGGGUCAUUGUUAUGUUUGUCGUUGCUGUUGUAGUUGGCCCGAGACGAUAACGGAUGGGGAGUCGGUCUUCCCCUUUUGUAGAAAGUUAUUCGGACUAUGCACUGCUGCUCACUCUCCUACCUGGGCCUGGUGUGGCACUUCAUCCCUUGGAUUUUUUUUUUCCCAAGGGAUAAAGUGGCACUACCGGUCGUUGAGGCUGGGGCCCGUCGAAUCUUUAACCUUUGGCUUUGGCGGGCCAUGUCUCUUUUCUCUACCUCCACUGCAUCCCGUCCUUUUCGUCUUCUUCAUCUUUUCCCCUAGCGAGGACCCCCCGGCUUCGGGCUGUCGACCCCUCCGAGUUGCAUGGAGAUAGUACGCUGACUUUUGGAACUUUCGAGAAUGGUAACCUGAGUGAAGGUCAGCUUUGGGCGCCUGGGGGUCUCUUUUGAACUUGAUGAAGAUAGCUUUUUAAAGCGUAGAGGAUAGACUUCUAUUGAGGGGUUGCCUGUACUCAGGCACUGCCUCGAGCCUUCCUGGAGCCUUCGUGACUGGAGCUACGUGUGCUUGUUUUUCCUUUUAGAAAAGGAAAACGUGAGAUCAGGCACUACCAUAAGUCAAGCGAUGGUUUUGAAGGCUUCCCGAAGCCUGAUUUCUUUUUUAGCGGAGGCCCUUGAGGUCGGACACUGUCUCGAGACUGGAGAUAAUACAGUUGACUCCUUGAGGCCUGGCCUCUUGUCGAUGUAAGCCACUGGGGUCGGGUAUCGCCCCAUCGAUCUGUAUCAAGGCCGUUAGCUUCCUAAGGCUCACUCCAGAUAGGUGAAUCGUCGUUGUUUCCCACAUAUAUGUGGGACGAUUUCGGCUUCUUCAAAAGACCUCACUAUUUUAGAUAGCUACCCUUCCGCCUUGGCAUAAGGUUCUUUAUUUCUUCAAGCGCAAAAAAUGUUGGCGCACGUCCUUGCUUUAGUCUAUCAAUCCUACCAUAGCCAUGGAAACUGCUUCGGGGCCGGGCCGGUAGGAAGUGUGGAGUGGCACUCCCGGCGCUCAGUAUCCGUGGGAGUUCGCUCUGAAGACCGUGUCUUUGAUAAAAGAGGAACAUCUGGAGAUGGCGAGGAGAUACUGCGGAUGGAGUGAGGGGAUAACGUUGUAGGUGCUUUCCCCGGAUGAGAGCAUUACGGACUCUGCUGAUAGAUUCUUGAGUGUAUACCUAUAUCUUUUCUCAUUUGGCCCUCUUGAUAGGGUCGUGCUUGAUUUUUGCUUGAAGUAUCGGGUUACUUUGGCGCAGAUACAUCUGUCGUUUUGGCGAGUGGUGCUGAUAAUGAGGUCCUUUGCGGAGAAGGCUAGGCUUGAUUUCACGCUUAGUCACCUCGUCAGGCUGUACCGGCCAUUUCAUCACCGAGGCCUGCUAACCCUGCGGUGCCGUUCUUCCAUGCCCUUUGUUGUCGAUGACGAAGAAGAUGGGGAUCGAGAGUGGGCCAGUUGGUUCAUCCGGGUCCGGACGGCUGACAUUAUCCCCGUGGAGCUUAUUCUAUUUCCGAAGGGAUGGAAUUACGCACGUGAGUGGAGUGUCUAGCACUUUCUCAGAUUUUGCUUAUAGCAAAAAAUUAGUUGAGUAAUUGUGCUUCUUCCUUUUUGCAGCAACUUCAUGGAUGUCGGGCAAAGUUCUCAAUCUGCCCGGCUGGGUCCGGUGGUUGGUGACCCAUUCAACCUGCGAUGAGCGUAGAUGGUGAGCUGUGUUCCGUAUCAUAUGGGGAGCGAGAUACCAAGGUAUGCGUGCACGCUUCAUUUGCCUUGGCCUUCGUAUAUUUGAUAUGACAUUUUCCCCUUUCUUUCGUACCGGAUUUGCCGUUGUAUGUACCGGGCGGUUCCUUGGGAUGAGGCAGUGCUCUUCCGAAGAGUGAAGGAGUCGUCGGCCUCUGAGCUGAGGGACGAUAGCGAUAAAUGAGAUUUGUGCCCGCAGUGUGGUGGAGAUUUUAAUGGGGCUCAACGGGUUCGUAUCUUCGAGGAGAGGGCAUCGCCUGAGCCUGCUGUUCCCGGAGUGUUUGAUUCCAGGAUGGUGGUUCCCCCGAGUGAAUAUGCUUUGCUCAAAGUUGGCUCUCCCGGGGCCGGAGGGGCAGGAGCAACAGGAGUGUGCUAUGCCUUCGAGGAAGUCCGCCGGCUUCACUUCGUGGUGAGUUUCGGCGCAGCCAUCCCGGUAUUUCGCAUCUUCCACUCUUUAUCGAGUUUUUCUUUUGCAAGUCUUUAAUAGGCUCAGGUCUGAACUGUUCCGUCAAGGGCCCAGGCUUUGGGAAGAUCUGGACGAGGGUGAGUCCUCUAAGCUCCUUAGCGAGGAGAAGGAGGUUGAGUUGAUGCAAUGGCAAUAUGAGGCGUACCGGAGCUCGAAUUACGAGAGCUACUUGAUGGAGCAUGUAACCUUUCGUAGUACGCACUUCGCUCCUUUUGACCCUUAAGGUUAACCCUUUUUCCUAUCUCAGCUACAGAAAAAGACGGAGGCCUUAGAAUACCUUAAGGGCGAAGCCGACCGUGUCAGGAAUGCUUGCGGUGAACUAAGGGCUCAGGUGCAAGCUGAAGCUUUAGAGGAGAAAAGCGCCUCGGCCAAGGUUCCCGCCUUCGAGGUCCAACUCCGUUUGGCUCGUGACAAUGCUUCAGUUUAAGUAGAUAUGAUCACGAAGCUCGAGACCGAUCUCUCAAAGGUCAGGGCUGAGAUAACUGAUGCUCGGGCUGAAGCGUCAUUGAGUCGAACCGGUGCUGAUCAGGAGAUGGAGAUUCAUGUGAAAGACGCUGCUGACGCCCAGUCUGAGUUGAAGUGGGCCCUUGAUUAUAAGAAGAGGAUCGAAGAAUAUGUUCGUUGUAGAUCACGCAGAGAGGUACUCGAGGAAGUCGGCACUAGGAGAUUCGUUCUCUCAGAGGAAUUAACUCGACCAAGGGUGGACGAGCGCGAUGCUCGGUUACUUCUUGCUAAUGUCACAGAGAGCAAAUCUAGGGCCGGCAGGCUGUAGCCUUCUGGAACGGAGUGUAGAUUCCGUCGUUUUUCAAUUUUGUAUUUGAUAUCUUCAGAACAUGUUUAUAGAUGGAGAGCACGCCUUUUGCGUAUAUAAAAUAAGAGAAAAACUUGAAGUUUUAUCUCCUUUAUAUCUCUUUCCGCAUUGCUUUUGACUAGGGGGGGCUGGUUUUGGUGUUUGGCGGGAGCCUCUUGGGUCCGGAGCUAAUUAGGUAGGCCCAGAGGCUUUUAAGUGUGACCUUUGUUGUGUUGGGGCCUCUGUGCUUUGCCCAGCAAUUUUAGGCUUAGUCUCCGAGCUCGGCCUUGACUCGAGCUUACCAGACCUCCAAUCUCUUGUGUCUGCAUAAGCGGAUGAUAAUUGUUUUUAUUUCUCGCCCUUGGGCGUUUGUUGUUUUAACUAUUUGGGUUCAUUUUCCGAGUUGCAUUGCGACUUUUGCUUUAAUUGACCCUCAAGUAUUCCGAUUUUCAAGCUGGCAACAAUGGCUCUUUACGCUGUUUGGUGGUUGAGACCUUUUGAUAUGUGGCCCGGAGGCUUGCAUAGUUAACUAUUUUGGAUCCGGUCUCCGAAUCGGGUUACGACCCGAGCUCAUUUUAAUCCUCAAGUUGUCAAUUUUAAGCUAGCGACAAUGGCACUUACGUUGUUUGGUUGUUGAGACCUUUUGAUAUGUGGCCCGGAGGCUUGUUUGGCUGGCGAUAAUGGCUCUUACACUUUUUGCCCGUGGGCAUUUUGUAGGCUUUGUUGUCCUCUCGUUAAGGUCUUUUUGAAAUGAUUUUGCCGGACCCGUCGUCAGUUCUUGAAGAACCUCGAUUUCAAGUUGUUAUCGGCAAUGUUUGAGCACCUCAGAAGGUUCUUAGCUCGUAGACUGAGUAGGUCUAAGCCUUGCGAUUUGGAGCUGACGUGGUCGAAGCUCGUUUGCCUGUUGAGGGAAGCAUGUUUUAACCGGUUCUUUCCGAAGUAUAUUCGGAGUAGUGGCCUGCGAUUUUGUUUAGCGACGGUCGGGCGUCCCCGAGUCGCGUUAAUUUGUCCGGAUCAGUCGUUUUGACCGUAGUCAUAUAUGUUUGGCCGGAGCCAUUUCUGAUCCCAAGUGAUAGUUUAGGCGUCUACACCGAGGGUAUGCCCUUUUGGUAUUCAUACAAAUGCGACGUAUAGCCUAAACUUCGGGAUUUUGAGUUUUAUGCUGUAGUAAGGUCUUAUAAGAUUUUCCAUUCCUGUUGAGGUCUUACAGUUUUGUCAUGCCUGUUGAGGUCUUACAGUUUGUGUUGCUAUGUAGAAUAGAUCUGGUUAUAUCGAGUCUGUCCGCUUGGGGUCUUACGACAUCGGGCUUUCCAGUGUAAGGCGAUUGGCGACAGUCUCCAAGUCAUCGAGUUUGCUUAGGCUCGAAGGUCGUUACUCGUGAGCUCGGGGUUACCUUGUUGGGGCUUUAUGAGCCCGGAAUUCCGAUCCUGGGGUCGUGCAGGUGCCAAAUUGUCGACGCUAAGUCUCCGAGUAUUUCGGGACGCAUUCGGUGGAGGAAUCUGUUACGUCCCGCAAAAUUACGUCAAUAUCACGUCCUGCAAUAUUAUAUUACGACGAUGUUGCACCCUGAAGUAUUGCACGUUAAAAUCUCAUUUUCAGUUAACCGAUGUAAGACUCGAGGAUGAGAUCAUCUUGACGUUAACGUACUUACGCUAUUUAUAGUAAGCAAUAAAUAAGUGUUAUGAAGAAUAAGAGGGUACACGGAUUAAAGAAAACGAGUUUCAUUAAAAGUGGUCAAUUUGAAAUAAAAUAUGGGUCGAACGAUAAUACCCGAUAAUUUACCAUGUAAGGUACCAUAUGACCACGGUAGUAUAAUAUAUAAAGUAUAUAUGAAGUAUUUUAAGAAUAAAUAGAAUUUUAAGAAAUUUGUGAUAAUUUUAAAAUUAUGCGGGUAAUUGAUUAAUUACCGGGUAAGCGAACAUUACCCAAUUAACUAAUAAGUAGAAGAUAAAAUCCCUUCUCCCAAGAAAAACGUGGCAGAAAGGCCACUGCUUAAGCAUGAGUCAUAGUAAUUUGUAUAUAGGUGGCAGUAACAUAAGCCAACUCUUAUCAAAAUUAGACUUAAUGUCAUUUUAGUCUUGGGGUUCAAAAAGACAUUUUGUCUUUGACAUCCAUUAUUAAAAGUCAUUUUGGUCUUUUGGGUUCAAAUAAAAACGCUAAAGCUAGCUUCAGUCUGAGAAUAAUUCAUCCAUCAAUUCAAUUUUAGCCAACAUUUUAAUUUCAAAGAGCUAUAAAUUCUGUUUCUGAAAUUCGAGAGCUUCGAAGCAGAAUUUUGUCCAUAUUUUGCAAAAGCAGAUUCGUUCAAAUAAUUCCGGGAACAAGUAUGUUAAGGCCCUCCCUUUUUUCUUUUGAUAUGAUCCAAAUUAUACUGAAGAAACGAGCAAACACAGUUUCAAUAAAUUACUCCAUUCAUAGAAAUAGUAGGAGUAUCUGUAUUCUUGAUUUCCCGUGAAAAAUAUUAUUAUCUUAUGUUCUUGGGUCUCAAAAAAUACAUAUUUGAUAAAGUUUAUUGGAAAAACAUUUCUGCUGUAUGUGUAUGUAAAGUGUAUUGGAUAAAGUUCUUUUUAAUCACUCAUUAUGAUAUCAACGAUGGAAAUAAGCUCCUUGAUCACUGUAUUAGCGCUAUAUCCAUGCAGUAGGCUUUCCAUGGUAAAUUGGUAAUAUAUUACUUAUAAGAUAAUUCUAUAGAGCAUGUAAUGCAGAGACUAAAAGAAUUAGUUUUGCCUUGACAACAACAAACUAAUGCUUAAAUCAUGCAAGUGAUCGUUUCUAUUUGGAAUUAUUCAAAAGUAAGUUUCAUGUUUUUGUUUUCUUUUCUUCCAAUUUGAAAGAAAUAGUACAUACACGCUAAUUGAAAUAACUACAUAGCUCCUCGUUUUAUAUGUUGAAUUAAAAUGUAUAAUAAGAAUACAUGUACAUUAGCUAUACGAUGAUAUAAAAGUACCUGAAGACAAAAAAUGACCUUUAAAAUAAGAAAUUGGUAUAUUUCAUAAUUUCAUGCAUCUAUACAUGUAUAUUGACCCAUCACCAGACGGUGUUAUAUAUGCGUAUAUAUGUAAAUAUAUGUAUAUGGGAUAUGGGAAAAGGCGGCGUUAUAUACGGACCACCACCUGAUCAGCUGGUAUAUGAUGAUGAUGUUGCCCACAGUGGCACAAAUAUGAUUCAAACGGCGUUAUAUACGCGUUUAUAUGUAUGUAUGUAUGUAUGUAUGUGUAUAUAUAUACAUAUGUAUGUAUGUAUGUNNNNNNNNNNNNNNNAAACAUGUACCUAUGCACGACAUGACAUUCAUACGCAUAUGCAAGACGCUAAGAGUAAUUUAUGAUUUACAAAGUUAUUCGGACUUACAGGUUGAGUCAUGUACUCUAUAUUUCUUUCAUGUCUCUUAUGUACUUAUUUAUGUGCCUUACAACUCGGUACAUUAUUCGUACUGACGUCCCUUUUGCCUGAGUACGCUGCGUUUCAUGCUCGCAGGUCCCGAUAGACAGAUCGAGAGCCCUCCAAGUAGGCUAUCAGCUCAGCGGAAGACGUUGGUGCACUCCAUUUGCUUCGGAGUUGUUUGUUUGAUCAGUAUGAUUUAGACAUAUAUUUUUUGGUAUGGCGGGACUCUGUCUCGACCUUUAUGAUAUUUAUGUAUUCUUAGAGGCUUGUAGACAUAUGUCGUGUAUGUGAAAGAUUGUACGGCCUUGUCGGCCUAUGUUUUGAGUUUAUAAACGAUUAUGUUGGCCUUUUGGGCCCGUAUAUCACGUGUAUAUGAUGAUGUAAUAAGAAAGAUAUGUUACAUUGGUACUCGGUUGAGUAAGGUACCGGGUGCCCGUCACGGCUCAUCGGUUUGGAUCAUGAUAAAAGUGGUAUCAGAGCAGUUCUGUCCUAGGAAUGUCUACAAGCAGUGUCGAGUAGAGUCUUGUUUAUGGGUGUGUCGUGCACCACACGUAUAAGCAGGAGGCUACAGGGCAUUUAAGACUCUCACUCUUUCUUUUUACUUUAGAUCGUGUAGUAGAGCUCACUUAUAAGAAUUCAAGUCCCGAACUUCUAUUUUUUUUCGAACGACGCCUACGUUCAGGAAGAUGAUCGAUAAGAGAUAUAGCUGUAGAAGUGUUGAAUUAGAGGAAUUCGACUUUGUAUCAUGCUUAUGAUAAGUAAAUGUGAGGUCUUCAACAAAUCAUGUGCGUACUGAAAGCUGUAAGCCUCUUGAUAAGAAGCCUUAAGGCAAGAAUGCCUAUCCACUUUUAUGGUGAAAGACAAUGAGAGAUUAAGAAGAUAAAUAUAAGUUUCAACAAGCAAAAGAAGCAAGAUAAAGAAGGGUAUGAAGCGCCCAGUUAACGAAGGUUAACAAUGUUUAUAAUUCAAGCAGAGGAACAUAAGCUUUUUUGAGUUAUAUUCAAUAGUAACAGAGGUAUAUACAAUUGGUCGCACCCAUUCCAGAUAUGCCCUAUGGGGGUUAAGACAAGUAGUAUAAGAAGAUAUAAUGGACGAAUUGUUUGCGUCAGUUGAUAUUUCUGAAGGAUAUUGCAUGCUAAUAGAUACGAUGGUGUACUCUAAAAUUGUACAGCUAGAUAUAAGUACUACAAAGAUAGGCACUGGAAGCCUUGAAGGGAUAAAUAUUAUCUUAGUAUGGCUCUCAUCCCUAGUAGAGGAAAAAAAAAUGUUAGGCAAUUCGAAAAGCCAAUGGAUGAAGCAAGGGGAGGUAAAAGCAAAGGAAUGUCUUGUUUGAAUUUUUCGAAUACAGUGACAAACAUAGAUGUUAGCAGAAAAUAAGAAAAGAGUUAGUGAAGCAUUAUAAGUAAUAUGUGAUACCUGGAUGACAAUGGUAGAAAAAAAGAAAGAUGAAAAUGAUGACAGUAUUAUAGAGUCUAUAGUCAAGUGAAGGAAAAGACGAAAGGUGACAGGCCUUGAGACAAUAAAAGAGUAUAGGCCAUAGAGUCAUAUCCUCAUUUCAAGAAAUAAGUUCGCGACUCUAACAUGAUUAUCAGAAGCAAAAGUUAGACCCCAAAGUAAUAGGAAAUCAGUAUGGGCUAGUGAACAAGGUAAACUAAAUAUGAAUUGGGGACUCAGUGAUUUGAUAAUAGUCGGCAUCAUGAGAAUUUCAGAUUGCGUUCUGGCAAUAAAAGAAUGGACGACAGAAGAAUAACCCUUUAAGGUCAUUCAGAAAGACGCUUUCCUAAAGCAAGCAAUGUAAGUAAAGUUAAGUUUAAGGGACUAAGUGUGCCAGUUACACUAAGUGUCACAUUGCGAGUGAGGAAUUUUGUUAUUCUUGGUACAGAAGGAUUACUGCAAGGCAAGUAAGGGUCAUUGAUAAUGUGAAAAGAUGAAAAGGAAAAACAUCUGUAGGUAGGUUGUCAUAGCUCCAAGUCUUAGUACUCCCUUAAAAGGGGGAAAUAUGGAUUAAUAAAUGAAGAAUGCGGUAAAACGAAUGAGGAAUGAGAUUACACUUAUUCAGCUCCUACGUAUAUGCUACAAUUCCAGAACAUUAUGCAAACACGGCGCCAAUGAGAGGAAGUAAGGGUCCCUGCCCGAGAUGUUAUUGAUAGAAAAUGAAUCAGUGCGAGACAUAAGUUAAGACAAAGGAAAUAACCCAAGAAAGAUUUCGCAUGAGAAUGGGCCAACGAAUAGUUAGCAGUUGAUUCAGGAAGAGCCUAGUCAUGACUAGACAAGAAGUUACAGACAAAUCAGCAGAUCAUUCAAGAUAAAUGUAGUAAACCCCAACAUAGAGAAUUCAGCCCCGCAGUUAUGACUUAUAAUACUUGAGAUAUAUUCAUAUAGGAGUUGGAGAAGUUAAAAAGGUACUGUAUGAGUGUUACGGAAAUAAAAGAGAGUGCCACUAGGAAGACAGUCAAAUAUCAGUCCAGAAGCAACCCCAUAAGCACAAAGGCAUGGAGAUAAGUAACUACAGAUAAGUAUAGGCAAGGAAGGAUAGUAGAAGGUCCGUCAAGUAUACGAUACAAUAAGAUCGCAUCUUUACAAGAGUCAGAGGAUCCUCCGUAAGCACUACAAUGAAGGUCUAGAUUAGGAAAUGAGGAAGAAGGCUUCAACCUAAGCACAAUAACCUAAUGAAGAAAAGGUCAUGUAAAAGCAGUCUCACAACAAAAAUUGUUUGCCCUCCAAAAGAAAGUGACACCUACCGUGGCUAAUGAACGGGGAGAAAGAUCGAAGGUAAUAUUUGAGACUAUAUAAGUUGCAUAAAAAUUCUGGCAUGUGUGGGAACUAGGAUGAGUUAAGUAUGCACGCAACAAGGGGCAGAAAGACCAGAAAAAGUAAUUGCAUACGUUUUAAGAGAGCUGAGAUGGAACGAAAGGAAUUAUUCUAUCGAUGAUCCAGAAUUAGUACGUUAUGGACACACUCAAGAUUUUGGAGCAUUAUAUUUGUUGGCAGUCAUACAGCCAUAGGAGACUCCGGUAUAAGUUUAAAAAAAAGAAGAAUUGACCCCAGGGCAUAGACAAAUGAUGGAAUUGUUAGAAGAUUGUAUCAUGGAUAUUCCAUAACGCCCAUGAAAGGCUAAGUUAAUAACUGAUACCAUGAGCCACGGGUCGGAAGAUAGCUUAAGCCUACGUAAAGGCUGAUCAGAAGGAAGAGGAAACUAAAGAAAUCACAUCACCCAAGUAAAUCAGAAGUCUAAUUAUUGGACCUACAAAAAUUUAGAAGUUGCGCUUGAGAACAUGAUAGAAUCACUCUUAAUAUUAAAUGUUCAAGAGAAAUAACACAACAACCAUAAUAUAUACUGGCUCUAUAAGAAAGUUUGUUAAAGAAGUACCAGCCUCAUAGGAAGUCAGUAUGAAGCUACCAUCGGAUUAUGUAUAUAGCAGAGGUGCGAGUAUUAUAAUAGAACUCUAAGUUAUGGAUGUGAAUUACACCUAGGUGGAAGGGAGGUCAUGAAAUGGAUAGAAGAUACGAUGCAAAAGUUUAAAGUAAGUAAGGUAAAGGUGAACAUCAUACGAGAUACUCAAAGGCAGAAUAUGUGAAUAGUCCAUACUUCAGAUAAAAGGCUAGAAGUGCUAGGAUUUAAUAUCCAGGAGUGAUAGCGGCAUAGUUAGUGGCAUAUCUCAUAGCCUAUGGUUUCUAGGUAUCGAGGAGGCUAAUUAAGACAGUAAAGAAGAGUUAGAGACGAUGUGAUGUCUUGCUUGAUGUCCCAGAAUGACAUAAGGAAAUCUAUGAUGCAAGCAAGUUGGAAGGUUGCAAGUAAUAUAAAUAGAGUUGUGUAGGUCGCAAGCCGUUGUAUGGUGAAGUGGCAAGGUUCUAGAAGACAAGAGUAAGGAUAAGAGAGGGCGAGUGAGAAGGUAACGAAAAUGGAUAAGUCCUCAGGAUUAAGCCCAUGAAAAACAAGAAAAGCAGAUGGCUUCUCUAAAUUAUACAAAAUAUCGAGCAAAAGACUUCAAUAUACCUAUAGAGGCCAAGAGAGACAUCCUAUUAAGCCUUGUAUAUAUAAAGUAGGACCUAGAUAUUGACUAAAAGAUAAAAGGAAAAAAGGAAAGAUGAAUCGCAUAAGUGCACUUACAAAGCCAGGGUCAUACAUGCUACAUGACAAGAGGUAACAGCAGUUGCAAGAUUAGGAAGAUUUCGACUACAGGUCAUGAUACGGGCAAAAACACUAAAGGGGGGAAUACCCUAGACUUUGGAUUUAUUCACAAAGCAACUGCUUAAAUAGAAAAGAGUAUUAAGGUAUUCACAAGAGCUAUAAGUUAUGAAAAUGAUAAGAGCAUCAGUCAACAUUCGAGGACGAAUGUUCCAAAGGAGGGAAUGAUGUUACGCCCCGCAAAAUUACGUCAAUAUCACGUCCUGCAGUAUUAUAUUACGACGAUGUUGCACCCUGAAGUAUUGCACGUUAAAAUUUCAUUUUCAGUUAACCGAUGUAAGACUCGAGGAUGAAAUCAUCUUGUCGUUAACGUACUUACGCUAUUUAUAGUAAGCAAUAAAUAAGUGUUAUGAAGAAUAAGAGGGUACACGGAUUAAAGAAAACGAGUUUCGUUAAAAGUGGUCAAUUUGGAAUAAAAUAUGGGUCGAGCGAUAAUACCGGAUAAUUAUGAACUAAUACCAUAUAAGGUACCAUAUGACCAUUGUAGUAUAAUAUAUAAAGUAUAUAUGAAGUAUUUUAAGAAUAAAUAGAAUUUUAAGUAAUUUGUGAUAAUUUUUAAAUUAUGCGGGUAAUUAAUUAAUUACCGGGUAACCGAACAUUACCUGGUUAACUAAUAAGUGGAAGAUAAAAUCCUCUCUCCCAAGAAAAACGUGGCAGAAAGGCCACUACUUAAGCAUGAGUCAUAUUAAUUUGUAUAUAGGCGGCAGUAACAUAAGCCAACUUCCAAUCGCAAGGUUGUGAGUUCGAGUCUCUCCAAGAGUAAGGUGGGAAGUUCUUGGAGGGAAGGAUGCCGAGGGUCUAUUUGGAAACAGUCUCCUUACCCCAGGGUAGGGGUAAGAUCUGCGUACACACUACCCUCCUCAGACCCCACUAAGUAGGAUUAUACUGGAUUGUUGUUGUUGUUGUUGUUGUUGUAGUAACAUAAGCCAACUCUUAUCAAAAUUGGACUUGAUGUCAUUUUAGUCUUGGGGUUCAAAAAGACAUUUUGUCUUUGACAUCCAUUAUUAAAAGUCAUUUUGGUCUUUUGGGUUCAAAUAGAAAACGCUAAAGCUAGCUUCAGUUAGAGAAUAAUUCAUCCAUCAAUUCAAUUUUAGCCGACAUUUUAAUUUCAAAGAGCUAUAAAUUCUGUUUCUGAAAUUCGAGAGCUUCGAAGCAGAAUUUCGUCCAUAUUUCACAAAAGAAGAUUCGUUCAACUAAUUCCGGGAACAGAUAUGUUAAGGCAUUUCCUUCUUUUUUUUGGCAUGGUCCAAAUUAUACUGAAGAAACGAGCAAACACAUAGUUCCAAUAAAUUAUUCCAUUCAUAGAAAUAGUAGGUUGUCUAUAUUCUUGAUUCCCCGUAGAAAAUAUUAUUAUCUUCUGUUCUUGGAUCUCAAAAAAUACGUAUUUGAUAAAGUUUAUUCGAAAAGCAUUUCUGCUGUAUGUGUAUGUAAAGUGUAUUGGAUAAAGUUCUUUUUAAUCACCCAUUAUGAUAUCAACGAUGGAAAUAAGCUCCUUGAUCACUGUAUUAGCGCUAUAUCCAUGCAGUAGGCUUUCCAUGGUAAAUUGUUAAUAUAUUACUUAUAAGAUAAUUCUAUAGAGCAUGUAAUGCAGAGACUAAAAGAAUUAGUUUUGCCUUGACAACAACAAAUUAAUGCUUAAAUCAUGCAAGUGAUCUUUUCUAUUUGGAAUUAUUCAAAAGUAAGUUUCAUGUUUUUGUUUUCUUUUCUUCCAAUUUGAAAGAAAUAGUACAUACACGCUAAUUGAAAUAACUACAUAGCUCCUCGUUUUAUAUGUUGAAUUAAAGUGUAUAAUAAGAAUACAUGUACAUUAGCUAUACGAUGAUAUAAAAGUACCUGAAGACAAAAAUGACCUUUAAAAUAAGAAAUUGGUAUAUUUCCUAAUUUCAUGCAUUUAUACGUGUAUAUUGACCCAUGACCAGACGGUGUUAUACGCGUAUAUAUGUAAAUAUAUGUAUAUGGGAUAUGGGAAAAAGCGGUGUUAUAUACGCACUACCACCUGAUCAACUGGUAUAUGAUGAUGAUGUUUGCCCACAGUGGCUCAAAUAUGAUUCAAACGGCGUUAUAUACGCGUACAUAUGUAUAUAUAUAUAUACAUAUGUAUAUGUAUAUGUAUAUGUAUAUGGGAUAUGGGAAAGGUUAUGGUGUUAUAUACGUAUCACCACCUGAUCAGCUGGUAUAUGAUGAUGAUAUUGCUCACAAUGGCUAAAAUAUGAUUCAAACAGUGUUAUAUACGUGUAUAUAUGUAUGUAUAUAUAUAUGUAUAUGGGAUAUGGGAAAGGUUAUGGCGUUAUAUAUGCACCACUACCUGAUCAGCUGGGAUACGAUGAUGAUUUUGCCCAUUGUGGCCGAUAUGAUAUGAUGGGAUGCCCUCAGAGGCUGAUGAUGUUAUGAAACAUGUACCUAUGAACGACAUGACAUUCAUACGCAUAUGCAUGACGCUAAAAGUAAUUUAUAAUUUACAAAGUUAUUCGAACUUACAGGUUGAGUCAUGUACUCUAUAUUUCUUUCAUGUCUCUUAUGUACUUAUUUAUGUGCCUUACAUACUCGGUAUAUUAUUCGUACUGACGCCCCUUUUGCCUGAGUACGCUGUGUUUCAUGCUCGCAGGUCCCGAUAGACAAGUCGAGAGCCCUCCAAGUAGGCUAUCAGCUCAGCGGAAGACAUUGGUGCGCUUCAUUUGCUUCGGAGUUGUUUGUUUGAUCAGUAUGAUUUAGACAUAUAUUUUUUGGUAUGGCGGGACUCUGUCUCGACCUUUAUGAUAUUUAUGUAUUCUUAGAGGCUUGUAGACAUAUGUCGUGUAUGUGAAAGAUUGUACGGCCUUGUCGGCCUAUGUUUUGAGUUUAUAAACGAUUAUGUUGGCCUUUUGGGCCCGUAUAUCACGUGUAUAUGAUGAUGUAAUAAGAAAGAUAUGUUACAUUGGUACUCGGUUGAGUAAGGUACCGGGUGCCCGUCGCGGCCCAUCGGUUUGGAUCAUGACAGGAUCCCUGCCGAGAGUGUACUGAAAUUUCCUCUUUCGGAGUAUGAGAUGCCGAAAGAUAUUCUUUUAUUUCUUGGUGUAAAUACAUAUCGUUUCGUUGUGGUGAGCUCGGCCUGCGCGGGCACGGCCCCUUGGACCGUUUGAUCUGGUACAUGAUUCCCUAUUGAAACUCGGGUUGUCAUUCCCCGGCCCUUCUAAGCGAGCGACGCUUUCAUAGAGGGGGGGUGUCCUCCAAUGUUUGAUUGCAGAAGGAAGGCUUGCAAUAUUGCCGGGUCCUCUUCAAGGGGUACGCUGAUCCGCUAAGAACCUCGCUGGCGAGUCCCUCUAUGGGGCGUAAGUCUGGCCGAGGGGAAAGAGUGCGACGGGUCCUAUUAAGGCCUUGGAGUCCUCGGGUAGAGAUAGCACUUCCGAACGCCCUGGCCGGAUGUCUGCAUGCAGGUUAGUAAAAAAACGACGAAGGAAGGAGGUAAUUUUUCUUUACCGCGGGGUUUGUAGGCGAUGUUUCGGGGUUUGAUAGGUUCCUGCUAUUUCGGAGUGUGGAUUCUAGUACGGCCCUCCACUGUGUUUAAUCGGACUUGGCCGAAGAUGUGGUUCACUUACCCUUUGAUCCUUUCGAGAAUAGAAGUAUUGAUGCCGACGAUGCAUCAUAUGAUGAGGAAUUUCCUCUUGCCGCGUAUUGCUUCCCGCUCACGGUUUUAAUUCCAUCCCUUGCAUGGAAUUUCAUCCUUCGGGCGAAGUGGGGGCGGCAUUGUCUUCGUGCGGUAUGCCCGUGGCCAUCUGAAUAAAACGUUUGUACCUUGCGCCUCCUUUAACGGUAUGGGACUCGGAGUUCCCGUAUGAGCCAGCCGUGUUGUAUCCAGAGAAUGGUCUUUCUCCUUGCUGUUGCGAUCGACGUCUAGAACCUGUUAAAGAUUCGAGAGGUGGUCGUGCUUUGGCUCGGCAGUUCGGGCCGCCCUAUUUACCUCGGCCCGACAACGUUGAUGUGUUGAUCGAACUACCUGAAUUCAUGAGCACUCGUUUUAUUUGAAAUAGAUUAGAUGAGGGAGAAGGUUGCCAAUGCGUCAGUGUGAGGUCGAAGCGAAGUUUCAGUGUCUUUUUUGCUGGAUGUAAGGGCGUCCUCCGGAAUGUAUCCACGGAGCCAUCUUUUCCUAGUAACGAGCAUUCUUAUUUCCACUUUAUAAGUCCGUCGAGGGUGUCGCCUCUCCUCCACUAUCAUGGCAAUACGUCACGGCUCAUUUGCUUCGUUCUUCCUGGUCCCUUUCUCCCUCAGGGCUGAAUUCGAGCCUGAUCGCUCAAUAGUACUCGGUGGUGAUUUUUAUUAAAUAGCACAAUUGUUUUCCUUUUGAGCUGGUGGCCAUUUUCGACCUCGUGUUCAUGCACGCCAUGUGGUUCCCGCGCCAGGUUGUGGUUCCUUUGAGGGGGAUUCGGUCAAAUAGGUUUGAGCUGUUUGGCGUCCCUAGUUUUGCUUAUGGUGAACGCGAACUUCGAUAUAACAAUGCUGAAAUCGUACUCUGAUGGGCGAUGUGCCCCUGUCGUCCAUGCCUCGUCGAAUCUGGCUUUGUUGAAGAUUCCUCGAGGAUGUUUCCCUCGGGCCAUUUCCCAAUCGUUGCGAGGUAGAUUGUGUCUCGAAGCGUUCCUCCUAUCUGCGGCGAACGGGCGGUAACUCUCUCUGUUUGGCAUUAGUUUUUUUGCAGGGAACCUGCUUGGGUACAUCGAGCCCGAGGAGGCUCCUGGAUGGUCGUCCACGACCCUGAUUCGCAACUGGUGUUGGGUACGGGCAUCUGACCAGAUCUUGGCUGGGUACUCAACCAAGUUUCGUUUGAACUUCCCUGAAAUCGUUGGGCUUGGUUUGUUUAGGCUUUAGGCGAAGGCUUGUGCUCUCCAGUCAUUCGAUACUGGGGGCAAUCUCGUUCGUUCUAUCAGGGAAUAAGGUGCGAAUUCCCGUGGUGUUUCACUCUCCCUUUGUUCGGCCCUAGAUGUGUCGGGCUCUCUUGUCACUGCUUCGAUGGCAUCGGCGUGUGUUUUUAUAGAGGAAUCUGCUAGUGUGAUAAGCGAGUUUGCGAGAUCGAGUGCUGGGUCACGACGCCACAUCAUAGUUCCCUUUGAGAGUUUUUCCCCGAACAUAUUCAAUAAGACGGGCUCGAACUCAUCACCUUGAAGGUCGUUGCCUUUUCUCACGCAUGUGUAAGCAGAGAUGUGCUUGUCGGGAUCUGAUGUCCUGUUGUACUUAGGGAGUUCUAACAUUCUGGACUUCCGUGAAACGGGUUCCGGGACCGCUUCCUCUAGGAACGACUAUUGCAUGAACUUCCACGAACCUGACUCGAUCCUUUUGGAGAGAUCCCCGAGCAUUUUUUCUAUGGCAGGGUUGGUUACCGAUCUAUUGUUGCUUGAUCUCUCGGAUAUUUGUUUGGCGGGAGGAGCUAUUUCCGGCGCUACUGUGCUGGGAGUCUCCGGGUGGCUUUGCAACUAAAUUAUAGCCAACUGUUGUGCCUACAACAUUUCAAAAAUAUCGUGAAGACUCACUUCAUGUGCUUCUCGAGCUGGGGUUUUCUGGCUUCUUGUCGGUCGAUAUGUUGUAUGCUCUCGUCGGUGUGCGAGGUUUCGUCGACUUGCUGCAUGUCUUGCGAACCCGCGUCUGCUGGAAUCGGCCCAGAUGCAUUAUCGGGGUUUUGCGGCGUCGUACCAACGAUUGGAGAAGCCACACCAUUUUCGCCGUGAUUUUCGAGGUAGUUGUUCUCAACCCUGUUUGUCGAGCCAGACAUUUUGACCUAAAAUCAAGAGAUCUUGGAAGAGAAAAAGUGUGAAAAAUAACUUGCGUUUGAGCAAUGAACCAACAAGAAAAUAAUCACUACUAUUUUUAGCCCCACGGUGGGCACCAAACUGUUUACUGUGAAAAUGGUAACAACAAUUAAAUUUGUAAAUGAGAUUCUAAAAAUAUGUUAUAUAUUUUUAUGCUAGUUGUUAGAGCAGAUGAUGCUAGGAAUAUGAAGUUUAACGAUGAAAUGCAAUCUAAAAUGAGGCAAUAAUCAAACCGAGGGGCUUACUGCCCUAACUUCGAACUGGUCGAUGGAGGACCUCGGGGUCGAUAUUGGGCUCGAGUUCGAGGUGUCGGGGGUAGUCGGAAAUUGGAUAACAGUUAAGAUAUGAUCAAACAAGGCUCCUUAGGGCCAAGACCAACCGAUAAAUGAAGAACAAGUAAGAAAGAAAUAAGUGUUAAAGCGGCCUCGAGCCAGUGAGAACGAACAAGUUAGAAAGAAGAAAGAGAGAGAGAGAUAUUAUUGCACUUGAGUAGAAAAAGUUGGAGCAACAUCAGCCCUUUACAAGGUAGUGUGGGUUCCCUUUAUAUAGGAGGGGAACCCAGCUAUAGUACAUGGGCAUUAAUUGUAAAGUAUGGAGAUGUGAUGGCUAGACGCGAUGCUUCGACGUAGGCUCUAGAUACGUCGGUCCUGUCAGACUUAGUCGUGUGCCUAGGGAACUUCCCCUUCUGUUCUAGCCUCGUCCCUCGUCUUCUUUGAGUCGGGCCCCGACGAGCCCCGAGGGAGGGAACUCGGUCGUGGCUCCACGUCCUCGGGGUCUCGAGACAUUCUUCCGAAGUGGCUUGAUAGCAAGAAAUCAAGUCCUCUGAUUUCGCCGCAUACACUUUCUACAACAACCUUAUUUGUUCUGGAUAUUUUUGGAUGUUAUAGCGAAUUGUUGUUAUAGAAAAUAUAUAUUAUAAUAGAACAUGAGAUUUGGUUCCAAAAAAAUUUGACUUUUAUAGAGAAUAGUUGUUAUAUAAAGAUAUUGUUAUAGAGAAGUUUGACUGUAUGACAAAAACAUGCCAACUUCAAGUCACGAAUAAAUAUAGUUAACUUCAUACUAAACUAGCACUGUUAGAGUUUACAGUCGCUCUCAGCCUCGUCUUGAAAUAAAACAUGGAAGGUUAGAAAUUAGAAUUAUGGUGGAAGUUAAAGUUAAUUUUUAAAAUAUUCGUCAAUUUAAAUCAUGUUCAUAUUUGUACAGCUCAAACGGUAUUUUUUAAAAUUUAGAGGAAGUACGUUAGGACAACAUUGUAAAAAUUGCACGGGGCGCCCUAUUUGGUCGUCCCCAUUUAACCUAUACCCUUUUUUUAAAGUUUUAACUUGUACCCACUUUUUAAACAACUUCAGUCCCCUUUCUCCUCCUUCUCCUCCUUCGUUUUCUUCUUCUUCUUUCUUCUGCUGCUAUUGGUGCUGCUAUGAAACUUCAGUUCAUGGGAUGAUUGCCAUAAAUAUGUUUAUCAUAUUAUUUAAAAAUAAAUUAUAAAUAAUUAUGUGUGUUAGUAGACAAUAAUUUGUGAAUAUUUCUACGUACGUAAGUUAGUAAACAAUGAUAAUUCUGUUCUUUUCACGUUUAUUGUUUCCAAAAUAUAUGAUUUAGAUACUGUUGGCAAUCUAAUUAUUUAUCUAGUAUGUUAGAAAGCUUUUUCAAAAACUUCAGCUUAUAUAGUGUUGAAGUUUUUACAAAUAAACUAAAUAACUUCAACACCUUCUGCUGAAGUUUUUGAAAAAAAGGCGUUUUGUAUAAAANNNNNNNNNNNNNNNNNNNNNNNNNUAUUGUUUCCAAAAUAUAUGAUUUAGAUACUGUUGGCAAUCUAAUUAUUUAUCUAGUAUGUUAGAAAGCUUUUUCAAAAACUUCAGCUUAUAUAGUGUUGAAGUUUUUACAAAUAAACUAAAUAACUUCAACACCUUCUGCUGAAGUUUUUGAAAAAAAGCGUUUUGAUAAAACUAAUGAAUCCAGGACAAAAAAAACAUCAGCUUUUAGUGCUGAAGCUUUUAAAAAUGAACUAAAUAACUUCAGCAUCUUCUGCUAAAGUUUUUGAAAAAGUUUAUUCAGGACAAAAAAAACUUCAGCUUAUUUAGUGCUGAAGUUUUUAAAAAUGAACUAAAUAACUUCAGCAUCUUCUGUUGAAGUGUUUGAAAAAGCUUAAUAACAAAACUAAUGAAUCUAGGACAAAAAAAUUUCAGCUUAUUUAGUGCAAUUACAAACAAAAAUUUCAGCAAAUAGAGAAUAAAACUUCAGCUACUAUGCUUAAGUUCAGCAAUUACAAAUAAUAACUUCAGCAAAUAGAGAACAAAACUUCAGCUACUAUGCUUAAGUUCAACAAUUACAAACAAAAACUUCAGUACACUUGGUUCAGCACAGCCCGUCUACUAGAAUGCUAAAGUUUUGCGAGAUUGUGUCACAACCCAAACCCCGACCCGGUCGUGAUGACGUCUCUCGUGAAGACAAGGCCAUCCAACUAAACCCAAUUCACUUUUCCUAUAAAACAGUUAAACAAUGCAUAAGCAGUCUAUACAGAGUUUAAUGAUAAUAAUUAGCGGAAGUACAACCCGACACAGCCCUAAUCGGGGUAUCACAAGUCACGAGCAUCUACUAGGGUCUAACUACAGCUGACAAGUCUGAAUGUACUGACUACAAAUAAAUGAAAUAAAGAGGGAGAAAAAGCGGUGCUGCGGACGCCGACAGCAACCUUGCUAAACUCCGAUGACUCUGCCUAUGAUCCACCAAUACCCGCUAUCGGGUUCAGAAAUACCUGAAUCUGCACACAGGGUGUAGGGAGUAAAGUGAGUACUCCAACUUAGUGAGUAACAAAUGUAAAUAAAGAUUGAAGGAAAGAAAUCAUUUAAAGUCAAUCAAGAUGAUGUAUAGAAGCAGUUCAAAAACCAGUGAGAAAGCAGUGAAGCUGUAAAAUCUCUUAAAAACAUCUUAGCUCAGUUUAAACUUCUUUGAAAAUAGCCUUUUCAACAAUUACGCAAAUGAAUGCAAUACAGUUAGUGCCGAUAAGCACAGAAAUCCGCCCCCGGGCACAAAAACCAUAGUUUAACAGUUAAAAAUGGUAAGUAAAUAUGAAAGAUAAACACAUAAACAUUCGCCCCUCGGGAACAAUGUCAACAACUUCGCCCCUCGGGCAAUAUCUUAGAACAAUACCAGCCCCUCGGGCAAUCACAUAGAACGGUACCAGCCUCUCGAGCAAUCACAUAGAACAAUACCAGCCCCUCGGGCUAUCAUAUAGUACAAUAUCAGCCCCUCGGGCUAUAUCUCACAUCACAACGGGUACCCGCGCUCACUGGGGGUGUACAGAUUUCGGGAGGGGCCCCUUACGGCCCAAGCACAAUAUCAAGCCAUCUCGUGGCAUCAAAUCUAGGACCUCGGACUCAUAUGAAUCAAGCCAACUCAUGGCGUAUAUAUCUCAGGCCCUCGGCCUCAUAAACAAUAUCACAAGCCACCUCGUGGCGUACAUAUCUCAGGCCCUCGGCCUCAUAAUCAAAUCAGUAUCUUACUGCUGCGGCGUGCAGCCUGAUCCAAAAGUAUCCUCACAAUAGAGGCCCCCGGCUUUACUUAGUCAGAAAUCACAUAAGCCCCUCGGGCAAUAGUAAAAAUAUGAUGCUCAGCCCAAAAUAUUAUUGCAAAUAUCAUUUCAAGUAUUAAGGCAAAAUAGACUUGGCUGAGGUUUUGAAAAAAGUGGAAAAUACAUGAUUGCGUUCAAGUAUAAAAUCAAAAUAGUGAGGAAAUAUCAACAACAUUCNNNNNNNNNNNNNNNNNNNNNNNNNNNNNNNNNNNNNNNNNNNNNNNNNNNNNNNNNNNNNNNNNNNNNNNNNNNNNNNNNNNNNNNNNNNNNNNNNNNNNNNNNNNNNNNNNNNNNNNNNNNNNNNNNNNNNNNNNNNNNNNNNNNNNNNNNNNNNNNNNNNNNNNNNNNNNNNNNNNNNNNNNNNNNNNNNNNNNNNNNNNNNNNNNNNNNNNNNNNNNNNNNNNNNNNNNNNNNNNNNNNNNNNNNNNNNNNNNNNNNNNNNNNNNNNNNNNNNNNNNNNNNNNNNNNNNNNNNNNNNNNNNNNNNNNNNNNNNNNNNNNNNNNNNNNNNNNNNNNNNNNNNNNNNNNNNNNNNNNNNNNNNNNNNNNNNNNNNNNNNNNNNNNNNNNNNNNNNNNNNNNNNNNNNNNNNNNNNNNNNNNNNNNNNNNNNNNNNNNNNNNNNNNNNNNNNNNNNNNNNNNNNNNNNNNNNNNNNNNNNNNNNNNNNNNNNNNNNNNNNNNNNNNNNNNNNNNNNNNNNNNCCCACGCCCGUCAUCCAGCGUGUGUCUCACCUCAAUAUAGCACUACGAUUUGCAAUCCGGGGUUUCAAACCCUAACAACAUCACUUACAAUCAUUACUCACCUCGAACCGGCGAAAUCUCUAGCUCGCGACACCUUUGCCCCUUAAAUUGGCCUCCACACACGUCGAAUCUAUCCAAAAUCAGAACGAAUAUGUCACAAUAUGCUAAGGGAACCAAGCCCAAGCGAAAACAAUCGAAAAAUACCGAAAAUCUCGAAAUUAGCAAGCCCCGGGCCCACUUCUCGAAACUCAUAAAUUUUUACAUCAUUAGAUUCCUUAUCUCCCCACGAGUUCAUACAUAUCAAAAGUUCUCAAAUCCAACCCCAAAUGGUCCUUCAAAUCCCAAAUCAAAAGUUCAAUUUCUCAAGUCCUAGUUCUUCAAUUUUAAGCUUAGUUUUCAUGAUUUUCUAGGUGAAAUUCACAUAAUAAUCGAGUAUUGAGUUCAAAAAUCUUACCUCCAGGUGUUUCCCCUUGAACCUCUCUUCCAUUAGCUCUCCCAAGCUCCAAAAUCGCUCAACAAUGGAGGUUCUUAGCCUCAAAAUCGCGGAAUAGCCUUUUUAAAACAUUCUGCCCAGCACUCGAAAACCUUCUUCGGGAACGCAGUCCAAACCUCGCGUUCGCGAAGCACAAAAAUCAUUGACAAAAAAUUAGCUUAUGCGAACGCUAACUCCAGUUCGCAAACGCGAAGCGUCCGAUUUCCAAACCAUCGCGAACGCGAAGCACAAAAGGGGUUGGGAACCCCAUCUAAUCUACUUACUCUAUACGAACGCGACGCAGGUCUUGUGAACGCGGAGAAUCAAACACCACCACAUCGAGAACGCGACACCAUAAAUGCGAACGCGAAGGCAAAAAUUCACGCCUCAGAAGAAUACCCUUCGCGAACGCGGGACCGCGAACGCGAUGAAUAAAAUAUCUACAACACUUCAGCUGAUUUUCUACAAUUUUGCACAACAUGAAAUGGUCCGAUUGACCACCCGAAACUCACCCGAGGCCCUCGGGACCUCAAACAAACAUGCCAACAUAUCCCAUAACAUCAUUCAAACUUGUUCAAACCUUCUGAACGCUCAAAACAAUAUUAAAAUACCAAAUUCGCAUCGUAUUCAAGCCUAAGAAUCUCAAAAUCUCCUAGAUUACGCUUUUGAUCAAAACCCUACCAAAUCACGUCAGAAUGACCUGAAAUUUUGCACACACAUCCCCAAUGACACAACGAAGCUACUACGACUCUCGAAAUUUCAUUCCGACCUCUAUAUCAAAAUCUCACCUAUCAACCGAAAAACGCCAAAAUCUCAAUUUCGCCAAUUCAAGCCUAAACCUUCCACGGACUUUCAAAAUGCAUUUCGAUCACGCUCCUAAGUCCCAAAUCACCCAACGGAGCUAACCAAAUCAUAAAAAUUCCGAUCCAAGAUCAUAUAUAAACAAGUCAAAUCUUGGUCAAACCUUUCAAAUUUCAAGCUACAAACUGAGAACUGCUUCUCCCAAAUUCGCUCUGAUUUCCCUGAAAACCUAAAACAACAAUUUACACAAGUCAUAACACAUCACACGGGGCAAGUCAUGCCCGAGAACUGGCGAUCAAAGUGCAAAAUCUCAAAACGACCGGUUGGGUCAUUAUAUCCUCCCCCACUUAAAUAUAUGUUCGUCCUCGAACGUGCCCAGAGUUGUUCUAAAAGCCAACCAGUCGCUGAAUAACCUUACCAUGCAUAUACCCGGGGGUGAUCCCACGUCACCCUAUCUCAUAUAGGUCCGAUAAUACAUUGCAACUGAAAUUUCACAACACAAUCUAGCCUAUACGCCUUAGAAGCACAUUUCCACUUUCGAAACCAUUCACAAGAUCAGAAUCUCACAUCUAUAUUCAGAAUAAGCCCGAACAAGCUGUAAUCACCCAUACUUGCAAUCUCCGAUGCAAUCACAUGAUAUACCACAUAACUCAAACACUAGUAGCGAUAACUUCUAUUCACAACAACUGCCCACGACAACCGAAUACUGGUAGAAAACCUCUUAGCAACUAAAGUCUCAUUCCAAUACUUUCAUAUACUGUCAACGAUAAAUGAAACACGCAAUAAACCCUAACCAAUUCUCAGGUCAACCAUUCGUGAAUCCACUUCUCCUUUGGCAAAUACCAUAGCAAAUUUCCGAGUCGACCUCGAUAUUAUCCUUCCAACAUGCUGAAAUCGAAUCCGUUUGUAUACAUUGAUGAUCCCGACGAUCUCUGCUAAUCCAACGCACUACUCUGGUGACAUGACACAUCAAUAUAGGCCUAAGCCACAGCUUGCAUAAUACGUGCACCAAUAAGCAACGGUCCGAACAUACUCAAAUCAUGAAAAUGACUCAAAUGAAAGAGUUGUACCUCAAGUUCACCAGUACCGCCACAACACAAGGCUAAGAACCCGUCUCACAUCGUAGAAAUAGAACACAUGAAUCUAACCCACAAGAUCAUAUAUCCACAUAGCUUUGCUGCAAUGCGCGAUCCUAUCAAACAUUGCUCCACAUGAAACACCUCAAGUCACUAUGCUCGAAAGCGACAACCACGCAAAAUUUGAUGUCUAGAACCAAAGCAAAUCAUUACACCCACGGUGAAACAAAUAACAUACGCCACGCAACCGGAUAGGACAUAACCAAUACGUCAUUCACUGGGCAACGCCCAAUUACUCUUCCCGCUUGAAUUCAACUAUGAGACCCCAAAUGAACCGCACCAUUUGUGCCUAUAACCAACAAAUCAUAUCACCUCGCAACACAGAAAGGUAACUCAUAGAUCUCCCUAGAUCACUGAUAAGCUCAACAACGGUCGAAUCAAAACAUCCCUCAACAAUGUAAUUCGGAGUGAACCAAGCCGACUCAAGUUAGAACACGCAUCCACAUCGGCCUACCAACAAACUCUUUAUCAAGGAAAUCCUGCAGAUGUUCCCUCAACACCUUAACUCUGCCGGUGACAUACGAUACGGUGCCCGGCACCAAAUCAAUACCGAAAUCAACAAGCUUGCCCGGCGACAUGCUCGGCCACAAGAAACACAUCCGAAAAAUCCCUCACCACCGGAACUGAAUCAAUGGUAGAAACCCCUGCACUGACAUCCAUCACGAAGGCCCAAAUAAGAAAGGCAAUCCUUCCCAGCCAUUCGCUGGGUCUUCAACAUAUAAAAAUCCACUCUACUAGGAUAUAAUCUGCCGCACCUCGCCACCCAAUCCGUGGCAUUUCCAGCAUAGCACAUAGCGCCAAUAGCCUAGAAUAACCCAACACAGAGACAACCAGUCUGAACCCGAUAUCGCUUCAAAAUCUAACAUACCAAGCAACAAAAGAUUCGCUCGGGUCUUCAAACCCCGAUAGUCACUAAACAGUGUUGAUACACAUGAUCUACAACCACAACAUAGCCUGAAAUGAGAACUUCCGUCUCCAAAUCCACACGACACAUGAAUCACCAUAUUUGAUCCCAAUUUUGCCGUCUGAAUACAUGCCACACCUCUAAUACCCAAUCAUUUCACGAGAGAUACUCUAAAAUUCUUCUGUGCCACCAAACAAACUCGAAUAUCAGCAGUCGAUCUAGCCAGAAAGUGUCGCAAUACUACCGAAGUGCCAUCAACUUAAUCACAUUGCCCUUUUUAUGAAACAUAUACUCUCGUCAAAUCACUUCCAACUCGCACUACCAUUGUCUUAAUCAUCUGAGGCUACCCGCUGCUUAAGAGUUUUAUGAACUUCCUUUCAGAACUGAACUGUAACCUUACACAUGCAAAUCUCAAUCCUCCAUAAUAUACUGCAUAUACCAUAUCAUCCUAGGAUAACAUGAGAACUUCAUCUCCCUUCCGAACCAUAAACUUCUACGUACUCAACUAGUCAAGAACUUUCUAUUGGUCCCAUCUAGAAGAAAAAUCACUAUACAUCCCAUGCUCCGCAUGCCCAUAGAAAAUAUACAUCUCCAACCCGCAGAAAACUCUCUGAGCUCCCCUUGCACAAAUCAGACCUGCUAGGACUGAAUUCUUCUAACUCGACCAAGCUAAGCAAGCCAUCAAAACCUAAGAGCAUUGCUGCAAAAUACCUGUAAGAACUCAUUACCUCGAACACACACAAGGAACUAAUCAUAUCCUUACCAUACCAGUCCGGUCUACUAUCAAGCUACUCCAUCUAUCUAAAUUUCCUUCUGAUUCAUCUUCAACUUGAUAUUCCCUCUUGUUGUAGCACCACAAUUCCUCAACACAGGCUUACCACACGAGACCCAAGCAUAAAACCACACUGUCUAAGACCCAUAAGCCGCUGAAUACUCUCUUAAAUAUUCCCAAAAGCAUCACAUUACAAAAUACUUUACUCUGAAGAACUUCCUGCGAAUCUAAAUCUGUUACCUUUAGCUUCCUGAUAUUGAUACAUAAAAUCCCAUAAUUAACAUAAAAAUACCACAAGUCUUGACCUCUUCCAAUGAAAACUCAGUUUCUAACCACAUAUACAACUUUAAGAUGCCCAAUUGUUACAUGUAGAAUCUUGAACACAUUAUAACCAUUCUCGAGAGUCAUUCACUCUAUUCAAGCUGCAAUUAGCCUGAUCAAACGAACAGAACCACUCGUGCCUCAUUAGUACUCUAACACUGUGGAAGGUGACAUCAUUCCAUUACAACCAAGCAACUUUCUGUUCUACGCACCGAGCAUUUUUUACCAACAACGACUCAAGACAUCCCGUGAUGCUCACACACCCGUGGAGAAUCUUUUAACCUUUGUUAAAAAAUUUCCUUUACUUGAACCAUCCUCGAUCUCAAUCUCCGCGGGCCAUAACUGAUUCACCCGAACGCCUCAAACUAGAACCGACAUAGCACCUAGCCGUGCAAUCAACUAAUCAACAGCAGACUCCCCUACUUGGCUCGAAGCCAUAGAUCGAGACACACUCAAUAACUCAUAAUGCAUAUGCUCUAUUGAUUCCAUAAUACUAUAGUGAGAUUAAACUCAAAUCCUUUGUAAGCUUGCGAAAAUACAGAUCAUCUAGUACUUUAAGUCUUCGACAAAUCUCGCACUCAUUCUCGCAACAGUUAAGCCCACUCUCUUAAGCGAUCUAAAAUUCAAGUUUCAACACUUAUAUUUCACUUGCACAUGAUACCUUCUAACAGUCACAUAAGGAUCACACAACCCCAGAACUCUUCGCAGGAGAUAAUCCACUUGUUUUGCCUUCAAUUAACAUUUUUGUAUACCUUCCACCGUCAUAAACUGUACGCACUCACUUAAUCUUCCUGAGUCUGAACUCAUACCGUAACAUUAAAUUUACUUUACUCUCAACUGGGAAAUAUGAAAAAGAUCCUUCACACACCCAUAACUCGAGGCUAUAUCUCGAAUCAAGAUGGAAUUCCAGCACCUAAUAGUUCUUCUAUCCUCUAGCAGCCCCUCUUCGUUGCCUCCAUAUCAUAUGGAUACCUCUCGCAGUACUAACAUACUCAUCACAUAGUUAUCCAACCGUCACUCCCACUAAUAGGGACACUACCGAACAUAUAAGUUCAAAAACACUUGGUCACACAAUCAGCACCUCGGUGCUCAAGCCAUAGGCAAAGAUCCGGCCUCAAGUCCUUCAGGCUAGCCCGACAUCAAACUCACAGAGAUCACAUCUCGCCCCUCGAUCAGGGAAUCACAAGCCAUCAAGGCACAUCUGAUAUUAAGCGCUCAUACUCGCAUACGAACGCAUGGAAGGAAUUCAAGAGUUACUUUUCAAGCUGAAUCAGGGACGCACGAUAAGAAUUCGAGAAUGUGAAGUUUUCCUAAAGGUUCUGCAGCCUCUCGAGGAUAACUACAGACGUCUCCGUACCGAUCCGCGAGACUCUACUAAACCUGCUCAUGNNNNNNNNNNNNNNNNNNNNNNNNNNNNNNNNNNNNNNNNNNNNNNNNNNNNNNNNNNNNNNNNNNNNNNNNNNNNNNNNNNNNNNNNNNNNNNNNNNNNNNNNNNNNNNNNNNNNNNNNNNNNNNNNNNNNNNNNNNNNNNNNNNNNNNNNNNNNNNNNNNNNNNNNNNNNNNNNNNNNNNNNNNNNNNNNNNNNNNNNNNNNNNNNNNNNNNNNNNNNNNNNNNNNNNNNNNNNNNNNNNNNNNNNNNNNNNNNNNNNNNNNNNNNNNNNNNNNNNNNNNNNNNNNNNNNNNNNNNNNNNNNNNNNNNNNNNNNNNNNNNNNNNNNNNNNNNNNNNNNNNNNNNNNNNNNNNNNNNNNNNNNNNNNNNNNNNNNNNNNNNNNNNNNNNNNNNNNNNNNNNNNNNNNNNNNNNNNNNNNNNNNNNNNNNNNNNNNNNNNNNNNNNNNNNNNNNNNNNNNNNNNNNNNNNNNNNNNNNNNNNNNNNNNNNNNNNNNNNNNNNNNNNNNNNNNNNNNNNNNNNNNNNNNNNNNNNNNNNNNNNNNNNNNNNNNNNNNNNNNNNNNNNNNNNNNNNNNNNNNNNNNNNNNNNNNNNNNNNNNNNNNNNNNNNNNNNNNNNNNNNNNNNNNNNNNNNNNNNNNNNNNNNNNNNNNNNNNNNNNNNNNNNNNNNNNNNNNNNNNNNNNNNNNNNNNNNNNNNNNNNNNNNNNNNNNNNNNNNNNNNNNNNNNNNNNNNNNNNNNNNNNNNNNNNNNNNNNNNNNNNNNNNNNNNNNNNNNNNNNNNNNNNNNNNNNNNNNNNNNNNNNNNNNNNNNNNNNNNNNNNNNNNNNNNNNNNNNNNNNNNNNNNNNNNNNNNNNNNNNNNNNNNNNNNNNNNNNNNNNNNNNNNNNNNNNNNNNNNNNNNNNNNNNAAAACAGUUAAACAAUGCAUAAGCAGUCUAAUCAAAGUUUAAUGAUGAUAAUUAACGAAAGUACAACCCGACACAGCCCUAACUGGGGUGUCACAAGUCACGAGCAUCUACUAGGGUCUAACUACAAUUGACAAGUCUGAAUGUACAGAGUACAGAUAAAUGAAAUAAAGAGGGAGAAAAAGCGGUGUUGCGAACACCGGCAGCUACCUUGCUAAACUCCGAUGACUCUGCCUCUGAUCCACCAAUACCCGUUACCAAGUUCAGAAAUACCUCUGCACACAUGGUGCAAGGAGUAAAGUGAGUACUCCAACUCAGUGAGUAACAAAUGUAAAUUAAGACUGAAGGCAAGAAAUCAUGUAAAGCCAAUCAAGAUGAUGUAUAGAAGGAGUUCAAAAACCUGUGAGAAAGCAGUGAAGCUGUAAAAUCUCUUAAAAACAUCUUAGCUCAGUUUAAACUUCUUUGAAAAUAGCCUUUUCUACAAUUACACAAAUGAAUGCAAAACAGUUAGUGCCGAUAAGCACAGAAAUCCGCCCCCCGAGCACAAAAAUCAUAGUGUAACAGUUAAAAAUGGUAAGUAAAUAUGAAAGAUAAACACAUAAAGAUUCGCCCCUCGGGUACAAUGUCAACAACUCCGCCCUCGGGCAAUAUCUCAGAACAAUACCAGCCCCUCGGGCAAUCACAUAGAACGGUACCAGCCCCUCGGGCAAUCACAUAAAACGGUACCAGCCCCUCGGGCAAUCACAUAGAACAAUACUAGCCCUUCGGGCUAUCACAUAGUACAAUAUCAGCCCUCAGGCUAUAUCUCACAUCACAAUGAGUACCCGCGCUCACUAGGGGUGUACAGAUUCUGGGAGGGGCCCCUUACGGCCUAAGCGCAAUAUCAAGUCAUCUCGUGGCAUCAAAUCUAGGCCCUUGGCCUAAUAUCAGUCAAGCCACCUCGUGGCGUAUAUAUCUCAGUCCCUCGGCCUCAUAAACAAUAUCACAAGCCACCUUGUGGCGUACAUAUCUCAGGCCCUCGGCCUCAUAAUCAAAUCAGUAUCUCACUGUUGCGGCGUGUAGCCCGAUCCAAAAGUAUCCUCACAAUACAAGCCCCCGGCUUUACUCAGUCAGAAAUCACAUAAGCCCCUUGGGCAACAGUAAAAAUAUGAUGCUCAGCCCAAAAUAUUAUUGGAUAUAUCAUUUCAAGUGUUAAAGCAAAAUAAACUUGGCUGAGUUUUUGAAAAUAGUGGAAAAUACAUGACUGAGUUCAAGUAUAAAAUCAAAACAGUGAGGAAAUAUCAACAACAAUCCCCGAAGGGUUCAAAUAGCUUGCACGAAGCCCAAAUAUGGCAAUCGGCCCAAAUCAUGAUGAUAGCAAAUAAGUUUCAGUCAAAUACGCGGUAAAAUCAUCAGUCGGGACGGACCGGGUCACAAUCCCCAAUAGUGCACGACCUCACGCCNNNNNNNNNNNNNNNNNNNNNNNNNGCCUUUGCCCCUCAAAUCGGCCUCCACACGCGUCAAAUCUAUCCAAAAUCAGAACGAAUACGUCACAAUAUGCUAAGGGAACCAAGCCCAAGCGAAAACAAUCGAAAAAUACCAAAAAUCCCGAAAUUAGCAAACCCCGAGCCCCGGCACAUUUCUCGAAACUCAAAAAAUUUCACAUCAUUAGAUACCUUAUCUCCCCACGAGUUCAUACAUAUCAAAAGUUCUCAAAUCCGACUCCAAAUGGUCCUUCAAAUCCCAAAUCAAAAGUCCAAUUUUUCAAGCCCUUGUUCUUCAAUUUUAGGCUUAGUUUUCAUGAUUUUCUAGGUGAAAUUAACAUAAUAAUCGAGUAUUGAGUUCAAAAUCUUACCUCCAAGUGUUUCCCCUUGGACUCCUCUUCCAUUAGCUCUCUCAAGCUCCAAAAUCGCUCAACAAUGGAGGUUCUUAGCCUCAAAAUCGCGGAAUAGCCUUUUUAAAACAUUCUGCCCAGCACUCAAAAACCUUCUUCGCAAACGCGGUCCAAACCUCGCGUUCGCGAAGCACAAAAAUCUUUGACCAAAAAUUACCUUAUGCGAAUGCGACCUCCAGUUCGCGAACGCGGAGCGCCCGAUUUCCAAACCAUCGCGAACGUAAACCCUUUACGCGAACGCGAAGCACAAAAGGGGCUGAGACCCCAUCUGAUCCACUUACUUUAUACGAACGCGAUGCAGGUCUCGCGAACGCGGAGAAUCAAACACCACCACAUCGCGAACUCGACACCAUAAACGCGAACUCGAAGGCAAAAAUUCGCGCCUUAGAAUAAAAGCCUUCGCGAACGCGGGUCCCUGACCGCGAACGCGAUGAACAAAAUAUCUACAACACUUCAGCUGAUUUUCUGCAAUUUUGCACAACAUGAAAUGGUCUGAUUGACCACUCGAAACUCACCCGAGGCCCUUGGGACCUCAACCAAACAUGCCAACAUAUCUCAUAAUAUCAUUCAAACUUGUUCCAACUUGUUCCAACCUUCCGAACGCUCAAAACAACAUUAAAAUACCAAAUUUGCAUCAGAUUCAAGCCUAAGAAUCCAAAAAUCUCCUAGAUUUCGCUUUUGAUCAAAAACUCAACCAAACCACGUCUAAAUGACAUGAAAUUUUGCACACACAUCUCCAAUGACACAACGAAGCUACUACGACUCUCGAAAUUUCAUUCCGACCUCUAUAUCAAAAUCUCACAUAUCAACCGGAAAACGCCGAAAUCUCAAUUUCGCCAAUUCAAGCCUAAACCUUCCAUGGAUGUUCAAAAUGCAUUCCGAUCACGCUCCUAAGUCCCAAAUCACCCAACGGAGCUAAACAAAUCAUAAAAAUUCCGAUCCGAGAUCAUAUACAAACAAGUCAAAUCUUGGUCAAACCUUUCAAAUUUCAAGCUACAAACUAAGAACUGUUUCUCCCAAAUUCGCUCCGAUUUUCCUGAAAACCUAAACCAACGAUUUACACAAGUCAUAACACAUCACACGGGGCAAGUCAUGCCCGAGAACUGACGAUCAAAGUGUAAAAGCUCAAAACGACCGGUCAGGUCGUUACAGAUUGUCUUUGCUACUUCAGCCUCGUAUGCUGAAGUUACGUGAAACAAUAGGUACGCUUGUAAUUUUUUUUUGCAAACGGGCACAAGUUAAAACAUGACCUAAAAAGCGGGUAUAGAUGCAAAUCCUCCGACAACUUUUAUCCAAAUUAGAGUUUUUAUUUAGUGUACACUUCUCAACGUAAAUUAGUUUGUUUUAAAAUUUUAAGUACUGACUGGAGUAUACUUAGACAUUUAAGGCUAUAAUCAAGUUUAUCAUUUUUUUGUGUCCUCCCUUUCGGGGUGAUUACUGAAGUUCUAGUCAAAUUGGUUCACGUCAACUGAGUAACUCUGCCAACCAACAAGACAUAGACAGAUGGACCUAAUGUUUUUCUGUCCCUGUUGAAAUUUGUUGUGUUUCAUAUGUAUUCUCGAAAGGUAGGAACUAAAGAGCAUAUUAUUCUUUCAUGUAUCUGCUUCAUUGUCGUCAAGAUUUUCCAUAGGAUCUGAAUGACUCAGGCUCCUAGAUGAACUAGUUAAACGCCCUGGAAAUGAAACACAUGUUUCUUUUUAUCCUAAAAUUGCAAACUGAGAAGAUUGAGGGGAACCCCUUUGACAGGAGUUAUGGUAUGGAUUUUACAGCUUAACAGUCUGUAUGCAUAACUUGUCUUCUGCAGGCACAUAAACUAGGAAAAAGCUAAGUAUUAUUCCCUGAGUUUGAACCAAACUGAAUGUUGCCAUCUUACUUCUAUCAGACGUGUUUCCACGUUUGAGAGAAUGUGUACUUUUAUCAAAUCAAAAAUCUUCCCAAGCUCGAGACAAGGUGUUACUUUCAUACAUAGCGUCUCUCAUGGUGCAAACAGAACGAGCUGACAGUAUGGUAUUGUCACAAAAGCAAUCUGAGAAUCCAGUCACCGCCCGAUCAUUCAGGGUGAGAACAAAAAUUCUCCAACAAGAAAAAGAAAGGAAUGGCAUGUACAUGACUGGAUUAUAAGAUUAGAUUAGCUUAUAAAAUGCAAAUCCAAAAACUAUAGUGAGAAAGACAAACAAAGCAUGCAAAUUUUUGAGAAAAUUCAGUUGCCUGUGGUUAGCACCAGUUCAUCACAGGCGUCUUUCAAAGAAAUUCUUAGUCCUCUUCCUCACACGUGUGAACAAGAUGACCACAGCGGCCAGGACCCAUGGCGGGAUAUUACCACCAGUGAAGUUCAACUUUUCUGCCCAUUGUGGAGUCUCUUUCAUCACCAAUACUAUCAAUAUGGUGAUCACUGCAACACCGACCAAUAUCCUGGUAAUAGGUUUGAUCAAGGAGUCCUAUAAUCAAAAAAGACAAACUAUAAAAAUCACAUCUAUGCAUAUAACAAUCUAUUUUGUGGAGAACCAUGUGAAAUAAGCUAAUACUUGCAAGUAGAUAUGGUCAUUGAAGUGUCAAGAGCGCCUUGGUAAAGUCAUUUUAUGACAUUUUCACAUCUAGUUGAGCUUUCUUGGUCUAAGAAAUGCAUCUUGAUUAUAAAAGGGAUAAUAUAUUCUCAGUUCAUUAUGGAGAGUGGAGAGCAGUUCCCUUCAAUUUCCUUUCAUGCUCUCAUUGUUAGGGCCUGCUAAUGUGGGCCUUAUUUAUGUUAGCAUGCAUAUUGAUACAGAGUUUUUUUUCCUGAUAACCUAUUUAUGGAAGAACUUAUUUAUCUCAAGUAAAGUUUUCCCGUUUGCCAAUUGUUGUUUUCAAUGUAAGUGCUCAGGAAACAACAACCCAGUAUAAUCCCACUUAGUAGGGUCUGGGGAGGGUAGUGUAUACGCAGAACUUACCCCUACCCUGGGGUAGAGAGGCUGUUUCCAAAUAGACCCCCGGCAUCCUUCCCUCCAAGAACUUCUCACCUUGCUCUUGGGGAGACUCGAACUCACAACCUCUUGGUUGGAAGUGGGGGUUGCUUACCAUCAGAGCAACCCCUCUUGGAAGUGCUCAGGAAAACUAGCAGUAAUAUCAAAUUUAGAUAUCCUUUCAACAGUUUCUGGAAAGUGUCCAACAAUGUCAAAAGUUCAUAUUGCAGUUCAAGAAAACCUCUUGCAAACGAUUCAAGAUAUAAAUGGGUAAAUGGGUGACUACAGAGCAUGUUUAUACUCAUGCUUAUAGAUAGAUCAAGUUGACACAAAGAGCACGGCUAUUUUGGCAUUUCAAUUUUUGAGAUUGAAAUGCCAAACUGCAAAACUAGAGCACAUGAACCUUCUUCAACUAGGCAGUUUCUGCUUCCUUUCCAGAUGUCCUCAGUUUCAGUUCUGAUUUCUGAUGUAAACAUCAUUUAUUCUGAAGGC
This 55411-nucleotide long non-coding RNA is filed under the name Nicotiana tabacum (common tobacco). Its description in RNAcentral is "long non-coding RNA (NTAB_LNC017460)". The record is from RNAcentral. Lineage: Eukaryota; Viridiplantae; Streptophyta; Magnoliopsida; Solanales; Solanaceae.